RNAcentral lists this long non-coding RNA (79482 nucleotides) under Vitis vinifera (wine grape). RNAcentral's name for it is "long non-coding RNA (VVIN_LNC001392)". The stretch from base 31692 to 31763 matches the Rfam family "tRNA". The record is from RNAcentral. Lineage: Eukaryota; Viridiplantae; Streptophyta; Magnoliopsida; Vitales; Vitaceae.
CCUAAGAGACUAUUUAAGCCAUAAAUGGCCUUCUAUAGCUUGCAGACCUCAUCAAACUGCACUUGUGAGACAUGCUGAGAAGAAGGUUGCUCCAUGUGAAUUUCUUCCUAGACAUCACCAUGAAGAACUGGAUCCAACCCAUAGGAGGAUUAUAAUUUGGAAACUAUGAGAGACAAACACAUAUGAAAAAUGUCAAACUGGUUGAGAACCCAAAAACAAAUUGAAUGGGAGAACAUCGGUGGGUCAGUGACAGAGCCAGACCCUAUGAUUUCAUACAGUUAAUACGAUUACAGAUACUACCUGUAUAAAUGCUAAAGUCAGUUACACUUAUAUAGAUCCCUUCCUUCCACUCAGCUGAUCAAAUCAAACAGGAAAACUUAAGAAAGCAAAGAUGAAGAUGAAGAUUGACAUUUGGGAAAAAGGAGAGCAACAUAAGUUGUAUCACUUUCAUGUUGUUGCAGUAUUACUGGGAAAAAGCUUCUUUAUUUCUUCUAGUCUUUUCUUUUUUGUUUUUUUUUUUUUUUUUUGGUUGGGCAGUAUCACACAAAACCAGACCCAGAAUCUCUUGUGGACUGCCUCUUGAACCAGUCCUCAAGAUGCCUAGAGAGUAAAACAAUAAAUCCUUUAACAUUCCCAAGAAAGGCAAGUAAUGACACACACUACCAAAUGAGACUGUAAAGUAAAUGGACGGUUGAAAAUUAAAUAAUACAUGCAUUUUGACCAUACAAAUUUUGUAGACACACGGUUAAUUAACCAACAAUUUGCACUGUGAAUUUAACAGACCUUACAUCCAUCUUAUAACUACAAUGUUAAUUGCAAUGACUUGAUGAUAUAUCAUACUAAAUCAAGUGUCCUAUGCAGCAUAUGAAGCAAAACGGAUGCUUGGACCCAGGUCCCAGGGUCACAUAAAACCACAAAGUGAAUGGAUAUAACUCCACAAUAAAUCAACUGUCUUAUAACACUAAUUUGGGAUGAGAAAUUGAAUCAAAUCCAAAAUUCUAGUAUCAACGAGCAGGCAUCUUAAUCAAUAAUAUAGGAAUACUAAAUAAAUCUAGGUGUCUACCCAUCCCUUUUAACCUCCCUUACCUAUUCUAGCACAACCAGUUUAUACCAAGCCCUCACCAGCACCAAUGACCUCCUUUGGACAGGACAAAACAAUCUUAAUUGAUUCCACACCAUCUUAUCAUAAAUUGUGGCCAGGAUAAUGUGAAGGAUACACAUCUUAGCAAUCUGAUCUACCAAUGCUUUUAUACAACCACCUUGGUUCCCACUUCAAUGAUACCUUAUAAGUUGUUUUCCACCCAACAUCUAUUAGCCAACCAAUUUUCUCCACAUCAACAACAAUGUUCCUUUUGCAGCAAAUCAAUAAAUUGCAAUUCUCACAAGUCAGAACAAAGGGGACACUUUUAAUGAUGAUUUUAAGCCAGGAAACCUACUGCAAAUUAUUCUAGUGAUAUUCAAAUUGAACAAACAAAUAACAAGAAGUGUACAAAGUCAGAGAAGCUCCAAUGAAGCAAGUCAAAGCAUGGUAGCUAAGUGAUUAUUGAAGAAGAUAAAUUGUCUUCAAAACAUUAAGCAGUAAGAAAUGCCAAACACAGCACAAGUUAGCAAGAGUCAAUCCACACAUAAUAUCGCACAAAUGCCUUGUCAAUCUAACCUUUAAACUUCUUAUCUCUUCUUGUAGCUUUUCAUUUGCAUCUUCAAGAUCCUUAGCUUCAUUUCUCAGCUGGUUCAGUACUCGGAUGGCAUCCCCAAGUAUGGCCAAUUUGUCAGUUUUGGCAGAUUUACCAGGUUCUAAAAUGGAACUCAAGUCUAGAAACCUAAAUCGGACAAACAAGAUUUUUCCUUUGAGACACCAUCCAUCACCUUAUAGAUUGAUCAAUGGAUAGAUACACAAAAAGACAUAGAGAGCACAUAAGAAAUCUGUACAAGUAUCAAACUACAAGAAAUCAAUAAAAGAUUUGGACUACUCAAAUGGUCACAUUUCCCGAUGACAGAUAACAUACGCAAUGAUGAUGAAUCCCAUACCAUUAAAGAUUGUGUUUUUUGAAAUAAUUUUUUGAUAGGUAAGCAACUUAUCAAAAACACCAAACAGGCUAUAAACCAGUACAUGUGAUAUGUGUUAGGCACACAAAGGAAAGGAAAAGGAAGAAGAGAGGAAGACACCCUCCCUUAGUUAUACAGCAGAAGCAAUAAAUAGAAUCCAAAAUUGAUGUAUCAUCAGCAUAUUUCACAGACAAAAAAAAAUAACAAGCUUAAGAAGCAUUUCCUUCAGCUCAAAAUUGGAGGUUCCUCAUCCCAAACAUGUUCCCUAUUUCUCUCUCCAUAUGAACCACAUAACACAUGAGGGUACAAAUCUCCAAAACUUCCACCCUCCCUCCCCAGCUUCCUCCCACACCUACAAUUACCAUUCUGGCCUUUGUGAAAUGCAUCAUCUGCUCCAAAGAGCGUAAAUGAAGGUUCACAAUUCUUGCUAUACUACAAUAAACAAAGAGAUGAUUGCAAGCAUCAUAUUCUUUUUACCUUACAUAACUCCUGCAACAGAUUAAAGGCACGUAGCUGGGAAGUGAAAGACCGUUAUUUUUUUAACCUUAGACAAAAUUAAUCUGAUCUAAUAUGCCUCACCUAUUCUUGAACAAAUGCAGUUGCACAUCAGUCAAAUAAAACCAUGACAUCAAAAAAAAAAAAAAAAGGAAUCUGAUCCAACAAAACACAUGCCUGUCAUUCAAUCUUUCCCUUCGCAAUUUCUCACGGCAAGCUUUGGUUCCAGGCCUGGUGGAUGAAUCAUUGCGUCCCCUACAAAUAGUCAACAUGAAAUUAUCAUGAAAAUCUAAUUACAAAAUGAAAAAUAUGGAUCAAGUUAUUCUACCAGAAAGACUUAUAAAAUGAUAAACAAGGAACCAGCUCAUUUGAUAGUUUUCUAUCUUUUUUCAACUCAUAGUGUAAAACGGUCAUGCAAAUGAAAGCAUUCAUAAAGAAUAUCACACUUCUAUUCUAGCAAGAUUAAAAUAAAAAAAUAAAAAAUAAAAAAUAAAAUAAAAAGAUUGCUAUGAUGGAGACAACUGACAGCCACCUUUACAAGUUUACAAGGAGUAAAGGAAUGGGCUUUAAGGCCAAUCUUUAAUUUGGCAUUCUCUAGAUGACAUUGAGCUUACUUGCGAUCUUAUAUAGUUCAACAUGGACUCAGCCUAGAAGUACUUUCCAGAAAUCAGAUAAUGGGCUUCAUCAAUGGUCUUAAGUUCUUACUUUCAGUCGUUUAUGUUGUCAUUUUCCAAGAGUCUUUUAAUAUGGUCAAGUAGUCAUUCAAAGUCUCUGAUAUUUUCAAUCUUCAUUGCUACUGUGUGAGUAUUUCUAAGAAGUUAUAACUCUUUAGAGAAGUUCUAUAUAGUAUUUGAUAAAAUCAAUGAAUGAAUGAUAAAAAUUUCCAACACCAUUAGUAAUAAAUGAUACCACCAUUAGCAAGCACCUAUUAUACAUUUAUUUUUUAGAAAUUUAGAAAAAACAUUAAAAUAAAAAACCAUGAGAAGAACAACUUGAAUCAACUCAAUGACUGGACAAGUGCAACAAUGUUUAGAACAUGAGAGCUCCACAUGUUCAAAAUAUAUAUCCCAUAUAGGUAAUGCUAAAUAGCACAAUUUUCCCUUUUCUACUUUCACCAGUUACAUGGAGAAUAAGAGCUUUAAAGAACAUAUUAAGAGGACACUUAUUCCCUAAAACUUGCUCUUUUGAUUGUCUCAUUUAAAGUAAGGUAAGAACAUUGAAAAACAAAUUUGUGACACUAUCCAACAAUUCAUGGAGCAAUGUUAUAUAGAUACCAGUAUGAGCAUCAAAUUUUCCAUGAGCCCUUAGAUUCAACACCAGAAGAACCUUAGGAUUUGACUAUGAGGCAGAAUAUUUAAAAAAUGUUUUACAACGCAAGUACAUUUAGAGAAUGUUUGGCCUUCAAUGUGUUACAUCUUCUUACCCAUCUACAUCUGAGAUCACAGAAUUCAAAAACUUAACAGUGUAAAGGUUAUGGGGUUGUUAAGCAUAUAAUUACAAACUACAGUCUAGAAGUGUAAACUUCACCAACUCAUGGAUGCAACAAUCAUCAUCCUUAAACCCUCAUGCGAACCAAAUACACUUAUCCAACCAUGUUCAAUAUCAAUCCCUCAAUAUUCUAUAAAAUCCCGAAAUAUAAAUAGCAAUUCAUAUUAAUUGCAUAAUUCUCUGACCACAUACACCAUUGAAUUCAAUCCCAAAGGCAAGAAAAUAAAAAGACAACAAGGGGAAGAAACACAUUGCUACAUGAUGUUACUCAAUCCCGAUAGCAUAGUUUUCCCACAUUUAAAAAAAAAAAAAAAAAAAAAAAAAAAAAAAAAAAAAGCUCGCAUAUUAUUCAAAUCAUACAGUUCAGCAUUGAUAAGAGAUUUCAUUCCAGCAUAUUGCACAUUAGAGUUACAAAUUACCUCUUCUGUCUGCCUUCAUUUUCUUGCGACGCAGCACAAAUACGCGAAAGAUCAAUAUCGACACCAGCACUGAAAUAGAACAAGCAUACCAAUCACAUUAACACGCCGAUCUAAAGUAUCCUCAUUUCAAUUUCACGAUUAAAACAAUUUCAAACAACUUUAGGUCAAAAUGACUCGGACCGAUAUUCUAAUUAUCCGAGGUGAAGCUGAGUCGCCAAGACAACAAUUAACUAUCAAACUUAUAAAAUCAAUCACACAAUUAUGUUUCGCCAAGCCGCUGAUUGGCUGCCGAGAAAGCAAAAGAAAGGAAGAGAAAAUUUAAACAUACAGGUACCCGUCGUUUAUCCAAGAGAGAUCGUUGGAUGUGACGUCGUCUAUCAAUUUAUGAUUAAGAAAAUCCCAAGUAUCAUCGUCGAAGGAAUCCAUGGAUUUGGGAUAGGCAACAGGAAUCCAGCACCUAGUUUGGAGGGGGAGAUGGAUAUUUUGAAAGAAAAUUGCCCAGCAAAGGCCCUAAAGUGGCACCACGUGGAACACGUUUGAAUAAGUAUGACGGCGAGUUGCCGCUUCCUGUUUUGACCAACACGUGUGUCUGCACCUACUCCUUUCCCACGCGCCUCUGUCGUCGUCGAUUCGGGUCCGGUGACCCUCUCAAUUUUAAUUAACUGGAAAAUACGCGAUUUACUGAUUUGAGUGAUUUCCAUUUUUAUUUUUGAAAAAUAAAAAUUAGGAUAAAAAAUAAGUUUCGACUUUAUCUUUUUUAUUUAUUUAAAAAUAAAUAAAAUAAAAAUUUUGGAAAAGGCUUGAUGUUUUAUUUUUCAAAAUUUCUUGAGACAAUUAAAAAUUAUCUUUUGUAAAUAAAAAAGAAUAAAAUUAUAUCUUAUAUUGGGUAUAAAAGGGAUACAUAUAUUAUAAAUAUGAAAUACAUGGAAAAGUAGGUUUUUAUUCACUAAUUUAAAAAAAUAUAGAAAAAUAACCUAAAUUUUUAUUAAUCAUAUUUAUCUUUACCUAUUUAAAAAAAUUUUAAAAUACAUGUAUUUUUAUAAUUUAAAUAAUUUUUUCUUAAAAUGAUCAUUUGACAUAUUUAUAACACUAAUUAACAACUUUUUAUUGUGAGAAAUGAUUUAAGAUUAAUAAAAUAAGAAAUUCAAAAAAUUAAAACUAUAAUACUUUAAUACGAAAAAUACAGCAUAAAAUAUUAAUUUUUACUUCAUUAAAACACUUUGAUAAAAAAUAUGAAUAUCAAAAAAGAGUUGGAAAUAGAAUGAGUAAAUAUUUUUAUUUUAAAAUUUUUAAGUUUUUUUGUUUUUAAUUAUAUUUAAUUUUAAUUGUAUUUUUAAUUUUAAAAUUUUGUAAAAAAAAAUUAUUUAAUUUUAUUAAAUAAAAUGAGAAAUUGAAAAGAUUUAUAUAAUAUAUGAUAUAAAAUCAUUAUUAAUUAGAAGAUUAAAAAGAUUAUAUUUAUCACUUAUGAAUUUUGAAAAAAAAAAUCCACAAAUCUCAUAUUAUAUAAUAAAAAAUUUAUAAUAUAUUUAUCAGUCAAACACCUUUAUUAAAUUAAAAUAAUAAAUUAAUUUUAAAUAAUUUUAUUUAAAGUAAAAUGAUAUUUCAAGAAAUAACUAUUUAAAUUAUGAAAAACUACGUUUAUUUUUAAAUGGGUGGAGAUAAAACUAAUUUUUUUUAAAAAAAAUUAAAGUUAUUUUUCCUAUAUUUUAUCAAAUUAAGGAAUUAAAACCCACUUUUCCUAGUAAAUAUUAGGAUAAAGAAAUAUUUAUAGACAUCAAUUUCAUUCAUUGUUUUGAAUGAAAUUGGAUAUGGGAAAUUCGAUAACAGGCUAAAAUGAAAAUUUUAUUAAACCAGGAUUUCCAUCAGUUGUAUACAUGGAUUUCUGUGUCAAUUUAUAGUUUCGAAACAGAAUCAUUUGAUGAGAAGCGGUCAGCAGAGAGGACUUCCAGCCAAAAAAAGUUGAAACAUAAUCAAAUGACAUGAGCUUCAUUCUUAAGCUGGUCGAUCAGCUCAUCCACGGAAGAAACAAUAACUCCUGCUUUUCUCUUGGGAGGCUCAGUGACCUGAACAACCUCCAAAUCGGAUUUGAUAUCUACAUUCAAUUCCUGUGGAGUGAACUUCUUUAUUACCUUCGAUUUUGCUUUCAUAAUGUUGGGGAGUGUUGCAUACCGAGGCUGGUUCAGUCUCAAAUCAGUGCUGCAUGAGGUACAAAAUAUCAGGUCAAGUAAUGAGAUGAAACACAGAGCCAAGUUGCAUUUAUGCUAGCCUAUGGCAAAUAAUUGCAGUCAGCUUUCUGAUAAUAGCUUUGUUCAUCUGAGAAACACUUCCUAUUCAUGUGUUAUCAGCAUUUCCACAUGUUGCCUACUGCCAUUGGGCAAAAGCUUGGAUGAAAAAGAAGCAUGUUUUUGUCUUAAUUCUCUUAAGCAGAAUCAAGGAAUAGGGUUUUUGAGCAGAACUUCAUGUUACGAGUAGAUCCUUCCAUCAUUUGAGCACUAGCUAGCUAGGAAUUCUUACAAGUACAGAAUAUAAAGCUUGUAAUGACCAUGAAUGGGCUGCAAAGAACACAUGAAUAACUUCAAGAGUUCAAAACAGACAACAAAUUUUGCCCAUAGCAUAUAUUUUUAUACAGAAAAAUCAGUUGCAUACUCUUAAAUGGUCAAUUAAAGCUCAUCAACCAAAUCUGAAGCGUCACAAUUUAACAUUUGCUUAAGCCCACAUGACUUGCAUCAGGUACUCAGUCAAUAACCACAAUAAUCCCACUAGGACCUCCUCCUCUGUUCAUCAUUGAAGACCUUGGAAUUAGGGGACAUCAUUUACAUGGAAUUAGGGGAAUUAGAAGACCUUGGAAUUAGGCAAUAAGCUCAUAUGCUCUCACACUUCCCAAAGACAGUCCUCAUAGAUGGGCAAUCCUCAUCUUAAAAGCACAUCAAUCCCUAUUACAUUUGGUUUCUAACUUUAUCAUAUGCAAACAAUAUGAGACCUUUGACGCUACUGAAAUAUUAAUCUAGACAGACAUUCAUUAACUACAUUUUUCCCUGUUAUACAGAGUAGUGAAAGGUUCUAGAAAGUUUUUAAGCCAAUACACCACUGCAUACACAUCGGAAUAAAAGUUCUGCUUACAGAAACAACGCUACAAUACAUCCUAUUAAGUCCCAUACGAUAUGAAUAUUAUUAACUAUUUUCUGAUAACCCAAGAAAGAAAAGACUAGAAUAGAAUAAAUAUAUUUUAAAGCAUAUUUUCAAACUGGAAGUUAAUUAUAAUCAGUAACACAAUUAAAUAAUGAAUUUAGAGUCACAUGUUUCUAAACCAAAAAAGACAAGUUGUUUAAUUAAUAUGAAUAUAAAUUUAAAAAUAAAACUUUAAAAAUAUGAUCUAUCUAUGUUUCAAAGGUUUGUUAUAGAGAUUUCAGAGAUUUCACGCUUUCUUUUAUAAGCACAGCCAACCAAAAUACAUUAACAAACAGUUUUUCCAAGAGAGAAGACGAAUAAAAACUUCAAGAAGAAAAUUUGUUUAAGUUCAGCAUAAGAAAAUAAUUUGAGUUUAAAUCCCCAAAUCUACAUCAUUCUGUACAUCACCUAGAAUUUUUUUGAUAGGUAACCCAUUUUCCUUUUAUUUAUUUUAUUUUAUUUUAUUUCAUUGUUAAAACUUGAACUUGGAACCUCCCACAUCCAAGCUACAACCCUUUCUCACUUGAGACAAGCAUGAAGGAGUAUAUUUCACCUAUAAUCCUUAGUUAUGUUUGGUUCCUAGAAAGUACCAAGGAAAGAAAAAAAAGGGAAAAUGGUUUCUUAUGUUUGGAUGCUACAGAAAAAGAUAAGGGAAAAAAUAUUGAGGGAAAAUGCUAUAGAAAAAAGAUUUUCCUCCUGAUUUUCCUUAAAAAAUGAUGAGGAAAGUUGGCACAAUGUGCAUUCCUCACAAUUUUACUUCCCUCAAUUUUUCAAUGCACAACCAAAUAAGAGAAUUUUUUUAAAAUUUCCUCAUAUUUUUCUUUCCUUCUAAUUUCUUUCCCACAAACUUUCCAAAACCAAGCAUAGCCUUGAUUUUUUGGUCGAUGGAUCCUAAUAUUUUUUUCCAUGCAAGAAGAACCGAUGGAUUAGUCUUCUCCAUUUAUGGUUCCAAAGGUUUAGAAUUUCUUUAGCAUUUUAUUUUGCUUAAUUGAAAAGACAGAGAACAAUAAAAGUAUUUCAAGAGCUUCAUCAAAAUUUUAAACCACAAAGCUCAAUGUAAGACAUGAUGGCAUGUAAGACAGAAAACAAAAACAAAGACAGAAAAACAGUAAAUAGCAUAAGAAGAACAAAUAGAAAACAGAGUGAGACAAUUACGUGAUUACUGCUGGUAAGUCCAAACAUAAAGUUUCAAGACCACCAUCCACCUCUCUCUCCACUGUUGCCACCUCUUUCUCCUUGUCCAGCACAACCUACUAGAAAGCAGCAGCCAGGUUGAACAAUUAUUAAAGGCAAAGAAGAAUAACUUUUAAAGAGAUCAUCUAAAUGUUCUAUCAACACCAAUUGCCAAUACAUCUCAAAUUCUCUAGGGAAAGUGGGGAGAGAUACAAAAACAUAAGCUAUGUUUGGUUCCUAGAAAAUUUGAAGGAAAAUGUAAGGGAAAUAAGAUAGAAAGGAAAAGUAGAAGGAAAGACAAAGCAAAGAAAAUGCAUAGGUUUCUAACUAAUUUUAAUUAUAUUUGAUUUUAUUUCUUAUUUUUUUAUAGUAAAACAAAACAUAAGAAAAUAAUUUUCCUUAACAUUUUUUUUCCUUAAUACUUUCCAAGAGCCAAAGGUAUCAAUGGUUUUAUUGAUGCACACAACAUAAUUCUUUCAGGUAUGCCCCUUGCAGCUGGAGAACAAAAAGAAUAUAGGUACAAAAUGAUUUAAGAAAACAAAGAUUACCACCAUAGAAAAGCUAAAGUUAAGUUGAAUUCUAUUGCAUACAGAAAUCCAUGAAUCAUGACAGAAAUCCUAAUAAUAUUUUCCAUGAGGAAAAACAUCCACAUUUAUAAUACUACUGAAGAACCACAGUAACAGCAAUUUUAGGGAAAAAAGGACCACUGGCAUAUGAUGGUACCAUAAGAACAAUCUCAGCCCAAAAAACCCUUCAUAGGGGGGGCAAAUUGCUCUAACUCUUGAAAUCUACCCAAAGAAGGGAAACUACCUCUUUAAUCCAUCUUGGUUAGGUACCAGUUCCACAAGGGGCCAUGGUCCCCAGAUCCUUAUUUUUCCUUGUCCACAGUGCUUUUUACAUUCGGAGUAAUUACAAUAUCAGAAACAAGAAGAACAUAACAUCGAUUGAUGUAUUUGGAAGCAAAAAAAAAAGGUUAAAAAAGCUGUCUUAAACCUUUUGGGGUAUCUGUUAUUUUGCUUUCAUCAACUCAAUUGAUGCUUUUUUCAGCCUUUCCCUCCUUUCAUGGCCUUUGAUAUACUCUAUGCAUGCCUUGCUGAUGCUCUUACCAUUCAGCCUAAGGCCACACAACUAGCCUUUCGCAAAGACAUGACUCCAGUUUUCAGCUUUCUCAUCUUUUCAUGGCACACUCGCUAACACUGUCUUCACCCUAAGUGAUAUGAUGUGUCUCACUCAUGCAACCAGUAUUCACCCAAAGAGAUAGAUCAGAGAAAAUUUCUCUGUGUUAAGUUUCUUUAAAAGCAAACAGAGUCUUUGAGAGUUUCUUGUUAUUCCAUCUAUGACCAAAAGGGUUGAGAUUCAUGGCCCCUUGCAAUGAAUUUUCCAUUAUCAUCUUCAAAUCUGACAUUUAAAUCUUGUUUUCUUGUUUUCCUGUUUUUACUCUCAAAAUAAUCCAAAAACAGUAUUUUGGAAACCCUCAAUUACUUCAAACGAUCAAUGAGAGGCAAAUUGGAAACCAUAAUUCACAAGCGCUGGCAAAUGGAAAUGGACUCUAAAAAGAUGUUAGCUGUAAACUAAUUGCUUGUUGGCUCUGGUGGCAUCCAUCAUCAAAGAAAAAAGAUAAAUAAACUGAGACAUGGAAUUUCACUAUCCUUUUUUUCUUAUAGGUAAGCGAAGCUUGUAUGAAAGGAAUAAAGAAAAUAUAUACAACAUAUACAAAGCAACCAAAAUGGAAUUUCACCAUCCUAGCUGAAAAGUGGCGCACUGUUACCCUACUUGAUGUUGUAAUAAGCUUUUUCAUCCUAAACUAGGGGAAAAUGCCACUAGCAUGCACCUUACAAGUCUUUCUAAACAUUUCUGCAUCUCAUCAUGAGAGUUUUAUGGCAGUGAAACCCCAUCCCAUGCCUCCGUCAGUGAGGAUUCUAUAACAACAGAUUCAUAUAUAUCAUUCUCUAAUCCUUUUCUCUUGUAUGUGAAUAGAACAUAGCUCUGUUUGGAUCCAAGAAAGAAUGACAGAGGAGACCAAAACACUCAAAACACUGAACAUAACUUUAGAAAGUUCAAAGUUAUUUUCAGGAUUUGCCUUUUAUUUCUCCCAUUCUCUCUGAUAUAAAGACAAAACCUAAUACUUGUAGAAAGACACAUGGUUAAAUUUUUGUUGUCAACGCCAACAAAUCCAUGUAAGGUGAUGCUUUUCACUAAGAAGAGACUCUAAGAUUAGAUUCCCAAUGUAUAGAGUGUUUGCGCAGUAAACAAAUCAAUCACUUAUCAUUUAUAUAACAGUAGAAGUGUAUGGAGAGUGGGACUAACCUUGGAAGCAAAGGUCCCCUGAGGCCAGUUGAGCAACCCGGCAACCAUUUGCCCUGUUUGAUUGCAAUCGUCAUCAAUGGCCUAGAAAACCCAUGCCCACAUCAGAAAACAACAAUCCACCAUAAAAAGAGUCUAGGAUUUUCACGGAAUCCGCAAAUUUAUUUUUAAAUCGUUACCAAAAACCCUAAUCUCUGGGCACGAAUUCACAGACCUGUUUGCCCAGAAUAAGGAGGCCAGGCUUCUCCACAUCGACGAGAGCUUUGAGAAGCUUAGCAACUGAAAGUGGGUACAGAGUGGCGGAAGCUUCGACGUGGAUGGCCCUAUCGGCGCCCAUGGCGAGACCCGUUCUGAGCGUGUCGACGCACUGGCUGGGACCCACACUGACAGCGAUAACCUCCGACGCCAGACCCGAUUCCUUGAUCCUCAGAGCCUCUUCCAAACCUAUCUCACAAAAGGGGUUCAUCGACAUCUUGACGUUGCUGGUCUCCACGCCGCUCUGAUCGUGGGUUGGCGAUUGUUAUUGGAUGAUGAUGAAAUUACAGAUACUGAAUAACUUGAGAGUUUGGAUUUGGGUUACCUUGUCGGAUUUGACUCUGAUCUUGACAGCGUAGUCCACAACACGCUUUAUCGCCACCAUUAUCUUCAUCUCGUAUAUGGGUGGUUAUCUUCUCCGGCACAAGGGUAUUGGCAAAUGACUGAUGAUGAAGGACGAGGAUAUUCGCCCGAGCCCUACUGCACGACACCACAUCCGCUUAUAAAAUCUUUUGAUACGGAUAAGUACAAGGGAAGUGGAAAAAAAGGAUUAUUAAGAAAAAUAAAUAUAUUACCAAAAAAAUUAUUUAAAAUUUUGUUCAUGUAGAAAGAACCCGUGAAUCAGAUCGAAAAAAUUAUAUUAAAACUGCUGUAUAGCCGAAAAUUGUGUACAGAAUUUAUUUUAACAUUGUAUUAUUGAAUUUUUUAUUCAAAAAUUGCUUAACGUGAGAUAGAAAUUAAAAAAUCAUUAGUAAUUUUGUCCGAAAGUUGUUAUAUUUCAUGUGUUUUAAAAAUAGAUGUAAUUUAUUCCUAUUUGCAUUUUUAACGUACAUUUAAUUAAAUAACCCAAAAAGUUAUUGAGUUCACAUCAUCUAUGGAGUCUACCUCUCUUUGCUUUUGUUGCUUCCAAAAAUACCAUACUCCCAUAUUUUUUUGGUUCUACUCAUUUUACUUUAUUUUUUUCAUUCCAUUCAUUCCACGUGAAGUCUUCAAUCCUAAUAACAUUUACUAUAUUACAAUUAAGUUUAAUUUUUAAAAAACUUAAUUAGGGUUAAAUUUCCUUUGAGAGAACUUCAUUACAAUUAUUUGAGUUGUACGUUAAGUUUCAUUUAAAAAUAACUUAUUUAAAAAGAUGUUAAGCUUCCCCUAUUUUAUUUAUAAAGUUUAAUAUCUAUUUGAUUUUAUAUUUGAAAUCCAACUAAAACCUAAUAACGAAUUGUUGUAAAAAAACUCCAAUCAAAAUACUAACAAAAAUUAAAACAUAAAACUCUGAUAAAAAAUUGUUAAAAAAUCCAACAAAAAAACAAUCAUAAAAAACCCUAAUCAAAAACAUCAUGGAAGUUUAAAUGAAAUUGCCAAAAAAUAAAAAGUAUAGAAAACCCUAACAAAAAAACAACACCAAAACACCUGACAAAAAACAAUUACAAAUUCUAGCACAAAAACCCCCAAUUAAAAAUAUCUAUAAAGAAAAACCUAAAAAAAACCAAUUAUAAAACCUCCAACAAAAAAUAAAGAGAAAGAUGAAGAAUAUGAAAAAUUUUGAAGAAGAAAGAAACAUGAGAGAACUAUCAUUGAUCUUUAUUUGUUAAUCUUUGUUAUAUGUUUGAACUUCACUAGAAAAUGAGAGAGAGAGCAUAAACCUAAAGAGAGAAAGAGCUGAAAAUGAGAGGAGAAAUGAAUCACAAUGAGGGGAAUGACAAUUUGAGGAAAUAUAGAAGGGUUAAAUCAUUUGAACUAGGUUAACGUUUUUAUUAAAAAAAAAGAGUAAUGAAGGUCCUUGUUCUAAUUUCAAGAGUAUGUCUGUUAAUUACCAAAUGUGGCAACUCUAAAUAAAAUCCUUUGUUAUCAACUAAAACUAAAAGUCCCAUUACAUCAUAUCCAACUUUCAUUUGUUAUCAACAAAGUAAAACUAUAUACAACUAUUAUCACCAUCUCUCCUAUUUUGAUGUUAUUUUCUUAGAUGAAUUUGUAAAUCAAAAUUUACACCACCCAUAAAUUUUUUGAGCUUCCUAUUUAACACAACUUCAAUUUGUUAUACUUUGAACAUCACAAAGAUAAAGUAAUCAACAUUUUGCUUGGACAAGUUUUUCUUCUCUAAAGUUUAGAGUCCUAUUUCACUUCCCGUUUAUGGGUUGUUAGUUCAUCUAAUAUCUCACCAUCAUCCAUUCCAUGUACUGUGUUUCCGAAAUGAGUUGAUUCCACAUCCUAAAUGUCUGUGCAAAUUAAUAAGGAAUGUCGAGUUACCAAUUUUCUUAAAAGCUUAAUCUUGCAAGAUUUGGAUUCAAAAUGCAUAUCAUGCUCUCUUUAACACCCCUCCCCCCUCUCACAUGUAGCCCUAUACCCACACGUAGAGAAAUAGACUUAUAGGAAAAUUGGUAGUUUAAUAUAGUAUCAGCACUUGGUUUGGUGGGAGGUCUCCUGUUUGAGUCACCUCUCCACAAUUUACAUUUCUCCUAUUUGUUUAAUUUACAGUUCUUCCCUUAAUCUGUAAUUCUUUGGAUAUAAAUUUUCCCCCUAAUUUGUAGUUUUGUGGAUAUGAAUCUCUCUUCCAUGUUCAGGUAUGGGGCCACACAUAAGAGAGGGUGUUAAAGAGCAUGAUAUGCAUAUUAAACCCAAAUCCUAUAAGUUAAAACUUUUAGGAAAAUUGGUAGUUUAACGCUUUUAGGAAAAUUGGUAGUUCAACAUGUGUACACCCCAUUUUGGGGACUGCUAUUGCUCCCACUUCUUUUUGUCAAAUGGUGGAGCUUUUUAGGAGCACAUGUUGUAUUUGGAAAGGCUAUUAGAAAAUGGCAACAUGACUGUUAAUGGAAGUAAUGAUUUUCUAAAAAGGCAACCAUGGGAAGACACAUAACAAAGAUGUUUGGGGAGGAGGGAGAGUGUGCAUCAAGACUACUCAUGAGGGGUAAGAAACAAAAAAAAAAAAGUGUCGAAGAUAACUAAAAAAUUGGAGAAACAUAAAGGAAUAAGGAUUUUAGGGCUAUGGAUGGUGAACAAGAGUGAAUUAUGGGUGUCUAGGACAGCUAGGAAUGGUGAGAGGAGUAGGGAGCUGUAGAAGGUGAUGAGCUAGGUAAGAUGUAUUUUCGAGAAAGAAAAGAACCAAAGAAAGAAGGUGGUGAAUUAAGUGAGACACGUCUCAGAGAAGCAGAGAAAGUUGGCUUGAAGCCAAGCAAACUUUUGCUUGAGAUGAGCAUUGCCUAGUAAGAUUGUUUCGAUUCAUCGAUUAUUACUGAUCAUCAUACUUCUCUUGUCUUAUAUUCAUGUGAUUAUUUUACAUUGAUUGUGGGGUUGCUUUGGUUUGGUUAUUAUGGCUUCAUCCUCUAUUUCUUUAGUUUUAUUCAAGGAUAAAUCUAAUUGUGCUUUGAUUAGUUAUUCCAUAUUUGAAAAUCUUUGUGUAUUUUGGGUUUUUUCUCUUUAGAUAUUUUCUAGAUUAAUCCACUGACCUUUAAACCCACAAAUAAAGAAAAAUGAAAUGAGUUUUUUCAUAUUUGUUGGGUGUUUGGCCCUUGUUUAUCUUUUUUUAAAGCUUUAUUCCUUUAUAUUCUCUAUUUCUCCCCAUUUUGUACAUGGGUGUUUCAAUCAGAGUCUCUAUUUUGGCUUCCACAUUUGAGAUUUCUUUUAUGAGCGAAGACCCAAAAAUGGAGACUGGCUUCUUGUAAUUGAUAAAAUAGUUAGUCACCCAUUAGCUUAGAUGAAGCAUAGAUGUUAACCGGAUUGUGAACAUGGAUACUCUAUUUUGGGCCUAUUAGGCCUUCCAAUCCUCUCUUAGUUUCAUUAUUCUUGAGGAUAGUGUUUGGUUGUGUCUGCUACUUAUUCUGUGGCUUCGGUGGUCUGUUUGUUUAUUCUUGGCUAUUAUCAAUGCUAACAAUGGGAAAGAGACUGGUUUUGGUUAUGCUCUUACGGAUUUGAAGGUGAUCAAAGGGUCCAGUGAAGAGAAGAUUAGUAGGUCAUAUUAGGUUAAUUAAUUAAUUAGGACAUGUUUUGAGUUAUAUUAAGUAAUACAAGCUCUUAGUGGGCUUAAGUAACUUAAGCCUAGUGGGGAAUGCCAUAAAUACCCCUUAGGGGUUAGCAUUUCCAUAGGUUUUUCUAGAGAGUCAUCUUUCACCUCCAAAGAAGGAGAGUCAUAGCCUUUACCAUUUUUUCCAUCAUUAUCGAAGUGUGUCAAGAUUAAGGUUUAAGUCAUUGAGCGGAAGACUCCAGGUUUAUGAGACUUCAUACAACUUCGUUUUUCAUUUUCAUCAAAUGGAAUUAAUUUGAAAACAUUUGAAUCUGAAGUAUGGUUUUUGUUAGCAUAUUUCGAAUCCCUUUAAAGUUUAAAAAUGCAAAUUUUCCACUAUGUAUAGGAUUUAAAAUCGCUUAAGAUAGUUAAACAUGUUCCCCACUUGAUCUGAAUUGGGAAACGGAGAAAUCUGAUAUUUUCCCAUCACAAGGUAGGAUAAGAACUUGUGAUUGAUCUUUAUGGAUUGGACUAAUUAAUUAAUUGGAACCUAAUUAGGCUAAUUAAUUAAUUAAGACCUAAGCAAACUAGUUUAAGUUACACAAGCCUAGGAUGGACUUAAGUGACUUAAGCCCAUGGGAAGCUUAUAUAAACUCCUUUAGGGGUUAGGGUUUCAAACUUUUAUCAUCUAGUCUUCAAUUCCUUAAAGAGAAUAGAACUCGAGCCAACAACUCUCCUAAAGGAUUCUAUUGCUCCGUGUCAAGAUUCGAAAAAAAACUAUUUGAUGGAAGGUUGUUAUGUUUAUGAGAUUCGUUAUGUUUUUUUACACCUUUUCACUAAAUGGAAUUGAUAUAGGAAUGUUCAUAUCUCAAGUGCAACACACUUAUUCUCUUUAGAUUUAUAUUGCUUAUGGUUUUUUUUUUUUUUGUCAUGGUUUUCCGUUAAGAUUAGAUUAAGAGAGCCCUAUGUCAUAGAAUGCUUCAAAUGAGCCUCCCCGGGGGUUUGUAUAGAGCCCAUGAAGCUUCUAGAGACUCCUAUACUUAGCCAUUGGUGGGAAGAGUGUGAAAGGUUCUACAGAUGUCUAGAGAUAUUUACACAUCUCUACACUAUGGUGGAAGGCAUGAGAGGAGUCUAAGGCAUUCUAAAGAAUUAUAAAGAUCUCUUAUAUAUUCUUGUACAUAGGCUUGUACAUAGAAUUGUGUAGGAAGUUAUAGAUUAUUCUUGAGCUGUAAGGAACCCUCCAAGGUUCCAGAGAGUUCCAUUGGUGCCUAUAAAUAGGUGAAUGCCUCAUUUGGCCAAGACACUAAGCAAGUGAAUUCCAAAACACUUGUAAAGCUUCCUUUGAAUAAUAAAAGUUUCAAUUCUUCAAGAGUUGCCUAUUAUGCCUUCUAAAACUUCUAAGUCAUGAGCAUCUUAACCUAACAAGUUAAGCAUUGGGAGUAAUGCUAACUUAGCAAGAUCAAGGAUCUUGACUUGUCUAAGUGUUGCACGAUCUUAGGAAAAGAUUAAGUUUGUGACAGUUGGUUUCAAAGUGUGACUACGAAGUGAGCAUAGUAAAGGAAACAUGUCGAGCUUCAACAUGGAGGAAACUAGUGAGCAAACCCGUGGGAAAGAAACCGAGCCUACUGCAUAGGACAGGGACAUGAAGGAUAAAUCUCGUAAUGCCAUAGCCAACGUGGAGGCAAGGCUAGCCAAGGUGGAGCUAGCCAUGGCAGACACCCGGGAAGGGGUGGACUUAAUCGAGCAAGGCAUGGAAAAUGGCUUAGAGGAUCUAAAUGAGCAUAUCCAAGACCUUCAUGAGAGAGUGCUAGGCUUACAAGUUCGGCCGAUGUCAUAUGAGGAGUUCAUGUCCUUCCAAAACGAGGUCAUGAGCAUGUUUGCUAGCAUGGAGUCGAAGGUGGAGGCCUUGGCUGCACGCAUAGAGGCCCAAGACCAAGAGGUUCAACAAGAGCUAGCUAUCUACAAGACUGUCUUAUCAGCACGAGUCAUGGCCACUCAUGAGGCACUAAGGGUGGAAGUGCCCAAACCACACACGUUCAAUGGCAAGAGGGAUGCCAAGGAGUUGGACAAUUUCUUGUGGCACAUGGAGCUCUACUUUGAGGUUAUAACACUAAUAGAUGAAGCCACUAAGGUAUGUACCACAACCCUCUACCUCACCAAUAAAGCUACUCUAUGGUGGCGUCAGAGGUUUGCCAAUAUAGAAAAAGAAAUGUGCACCAUAGACACAUGGGAUGCCUUUAAGCAAAAGAUCAAAAAACAAUUAUACCUUAAUGAUGUGGCUUACCUAGCAAGGAAAAACACAAAAUGUCUUAAGCACACAGACUCGAUCCGUGAGUAUGUCAAAGAAUUCUCUACACUUAUGCUUGAGAUACCCAACAUGUCUGAGGAAAAGCUACUAUUCAACUUCAUGGACAACUUGCAAAGCUGGGCCGAGCAAGAGUUAAGGAGAAGUGGUGUCCAAGACCUAGCCACGGCCAUGGCGGUAGCGAAGUCCUUGGUGGAAUACAAAAAGGGAGACUCUUUUAAGCCCAAGCCACAGUCUAAGGGUAAUCAUGCUAAAGGUGGGGAAACAAGGGAUCAAGGAGGUACACUCCUAAGGAAUGAUCAAGCAAGACCUCUGGUGGCAAGGAUGGUAAGGGUAAGGAUAAACGGAAAUAGUUCACGCCUAAGAUCAAUUGCUUCCUAUGUGAUGGUCCACAUUGGGCGCGAGACUACCUCAAAAGAAAAGCCCUAAAUGCCAUGAUCGAGGAAAAGUAGAAGGAAGACAAUGCUCAUGUGGGAUCAUUACAACUCUUAAAUGAUAUCAAGGCUAAGUCAGUGCUUAAGACACCUCAAAGUAAAAGUCUAAUGUACAUAGAAGCCCUUGUAAAUAGGAAGGCUACCAAGGCUUUGGUGGACACUAGUGUCACUCAUAACUUUGUCUCGAAGGAUAAGACAAAGAACUUAGAGCUCCAAGCAUCUAAGGAAGGAGGUUGGCUCAAGGCAAUUAAUUAAGUUUCCAAGCCAUCACACGAAGUAGCACGCAGGGUGGCAAUGCACAUUGGCUCAUGGGAAGGAAUGGUCGACUUCACAGUGGCACCCAUGGACUACUUCAAGAUGGUACUGGGAAUGAACUUCCUAUAGAAAGACAAGGUCAUGCCACUACACUUCCUACAUUUAAUGGUUAUCCUAGAGGAUGAAAAGUCAUGCAUAGUCCUUACGGUCACCGAAGGUUCACCCAAGACCCCUAUGAUAUCGGUUAUGCAAGUAAAGAAGGGAUCAAAGAGGAAAGAGGUGACCUACCUCACCACUCUUAAGGAGGAAAAUGAUGAUGAGUUGGGGGAGCCCAUGCCUAAGGAAAUCAAGAGAGUCUUUGAUGAGUUCAAGGACGUGAUGUUGCCUAAGUUGCCUAAAAGACUCCUUCCUAGAAGAGAGAAAGAUCAUAAGAUCGAGUUAGAUGCAGGAACUAAGCCCCUUGCUAUGGGGCCAUAUAGGAUGGCACAACCCAAGCUGAAAGAGCUAAGGAAACAACUUAAGGAGUUGUUGGAUGCAGGGUUUAUCCAACCAUCCAAGACUCCCUAUGGCGCACCGAUUUUAUUUCAAAAGAACCAUGAUGGGUCCCUACAGAUGUGCAUCGAUUACCAAGCACUCAAUAAGGUAACAAUAUAGAAUAAGUACCCCAUUCCACUCAUUGUUGAUCUAUUUGAUCAACUUGGUAAAGCAAGGUAUUUCACUAAGUUGGACUUGAGAUCAGGCUACUACCAAGUGAGGAUUGUGGAAGGAGACAAACUGAAGACUACAUGUGUGACCCGAUAUGGCUCAUAUGAGUUCUUAGUGAUGCUCUUCGAUCUCACCAAUGUACCAACAAUGUUUUGGACACUCAUGAAUAAGAUCUUCCAUCCCUAUUUAGACUAGUUUGUGGUGGUAUACUAAGAUGACAUAGUCAUCUACAAUAGCAUCUUAGAGGAGCACGUGGAGCAUUUAAGGAAGGUCUUCAAGAUCUUAAGGUAAAACGAGUUAUAUGUAAAGAAGAAGAAAUGCUCAUUUGUUAAAGAGGAUGUGAGCUUCCUAGGGCAUCGCAUCAAAGAUGGCAAGCUGAUGAUGGAUGACAACAAGAUGAAGGUCAUCUAGGAAUGGGAUCCACCUACUAAGGUACCUCAACUAAAGUCUUUCCUUGGCUUGGCUAACUAUUACCAGUGGUUCAUCAAGGGUUACUCUACAAAGACAGCUUCACUCACUAAUCUUCUUAAGAAGAACAAGGCAUGGGUGUGAGACAAAAGGUGGCAACAAGCCUUUGAAGAUCUAAAAAGUGUUGUGAUUGAGGAGCCAAUGUUGGCAUUACCCAACCACAUGAAGGUUUUUAAGAUACACACAGAUGCCUCAAACUUUGCUAUUAGGGAAGUUCUGAUAAGAUAGACAUCUAAUCGCCUUCAAGAGUUGCAAGCUAAAUGACAUAGAGAGACGCUACAUGGUACAAGAAAAUGAUAUGACUGUCAUUGUCUAUUACUUGCACACCUGAAGACACUAUCUUCUAGGGUCUCACUUCAUAGUGAAAACCGACAAUGUUGUCAUUAGUUACUUCUAAACACAGAAAAGUCCUAAGUAAGCUAGGUGGCAAGACUUUCUGGUUGAGUUUGACGAUGCGCUGGAGUAUAAGACAAAAAGUACUAAUCAUGUGAAUGACGCCCUAAGCCGUAAUGUAGAGCUAGCAUUCAUGACGAGCCAGCCCCAAUGAGACAUAAUAGAUCUUCUAAGAGAGGGGUUGCAACAUGAUCUAGUGGCUAAGAGCCUUAUUACCUUGGCCCAUGAGGGAAAAACUAAGUGUUUUUAGGUAGAGGACGACCUACUCUACACUAAGGGGAGACUACUCUACGUGCUUAAGUGGGGGAACAUAAGGUAGAACUUGAUUAAGGAGUGCCAUGACACCAAGUGGGUUGGGCACCUUGGGCAACGACGCAUAAAGAGCACUACUCGAGUCAGCUUACUACUGAUCUUAGAUACAAGAUGAAGUUGAGGCAUAUGUGAGGACUUGUCUUGUGUGCUAACAAGACAAGGUAAAACAACAACAACCUAGAGGCUUGUUGGAGCCACUACCUAUAGCAGAGCGUCCAUGGGAGAGCAUCACCAUGGACUUCAUCAUCGGGCUACCUAAGUUGGAGGGCUAUGGCUCGAUCAUAGUGGUAGUGGAUAUGUUCUCUAAGUAUGUGACCUUCAUAGUAGCCUCUACUGACUGUACUGCAAAGGAGACAGCAAGGCUAUUCUUGAAACACAUGGUCAAAUACUGGGGGUCGCCUAAUUACAUCAUCAGUGAUCGCGAUUUGCAUUUCACUAGGAAGUUUUGGACAAAGCUCUUUAAGCUUAUGGGUUUGAAGCUUCACUUCUUCACAAGCUUUUCACCCGUAAACAGAUAGGCAGAUUGAGAGGGUGAACGCCUUAUUAGAGUUAUACUUAUCCUUCAUGAGUGUCAACCAAAAGGAAUGGACUAAGUUGCUAGAUGUAAUCCAAUUUUCAUACAACUUGCAAAGAAGUGAGACAACCAACAAGAGCCCGUUCAAGCUAGCCAUAGGGCAGCAACCAUUGACUCCUCACACACUACCAAUAGGCUAUACGAAGAGAAGUUCAGCGGCUUUGAAGUUCACUAAGGGGUGACACGAGCCAACUGACAUAAUAGCUCAUACUUGGAUAGGGCCGCUAGAAAGAUGAAGAAGUGGGCUGACAAAAAGCGACAUCACACUGAGUACAAGGUCGGAGACAUGGUCUUUGUCAAGCUCCUUCCUAAAAAAUUCAAGUCACUAAGGCCGGUACAUAAAGGCCUUAUGAUGAGGUAUAAAGGACAUUUCCCCAUACUUGGAAAGGUCGGCAAGGUGUCCUAUAGAGUUGAGUUACCACCGAGGUUGAAGAUUCAUAUCGUCUUCCACGUAAGUUACAUAAAAUCAUAUCACGAAGACAAGAAUUAUCCAAGCCAAGGGAUGUCCUAGAUGACACCUACAUCGAUUAUGACCUUCUAUGACAAGGAAGUAGAACACAUCAUUGCAGGCUGAGUCAUCAAGAGAUGAGGCGUGCCUCCUGCUACGGAGUACUUGGUGAAAUGGAAGGGACUACCAGAGAACGAGACUAGCUGGGAGCCAAUAGAUGCACUAUGGCAAUUUCAGGAGCACAUUAAGUGGUUCUAGGUGGAAGGUGCGACAAGGACGUUUACGGUUUAGGUAGGGGAGAGUGUCAUAGAAUGCUUCAAAUGAGCCUCCCCAGGGGUUUAUAUAGAGCCUAAGAAGCUUUUGGAGACUCCUACACUUAGUCAUUGGUGGGAAAAUGGUGGAAGGUUCUAAAGAUGUCUAAAGAUAUCCACACAUCUCUACACUAUGGUGGAAGGUAUGAGAGAAGUCCAAGGCUUUCUAGAAAAUUCUAGAGAUCUCUUGUAUAUUCUUGUACAUAGGCUUGUACAUAGAAUUGUGUAGGAAGUUUUAGAUUAUUCUUGAGUUGUAAGGAACCCUCCAAGAUUCCAAAGAGUUUCAUUGGUGCCUAUAAAUAGGUGAAGGCCUCAUUUGGCCAAGGCACCAAGCAAGUGAGUUCCAAAGCACUUGUAAAGCUUCUUUUAAGUAAUAAAAGCUUCCAUCCUUCAAGAUUUAUCUACUACGCCUUAUAAAGCUUUCAAGUUGUGAGCAUCUUAACCUAGCAAGCUGAGCAUUGGGAGCAAAACUGACUUAGCAAGAUCAAGGGUCUUGACUUGUCUAAGUGUCGCACGAGCUUAGGAAAAGACUAAGUUCAUGACACCUAGGACUAGUAGCAUGCACCCUAAGUAAUCCAAGGCUAGAAAUGAAAUGAUACAAGGAUUCCCAACACUUGACUUAAUUCCUUAGAAAUUGAAACUCAAUAAAAAACAUUAGUGUCAUUAACCUCAUUUUUUUUAUUACCAAUACUUAAUUAGGGGAAACCUUGAGCUAACAACCUCCUCAUUUUUUAUGAUGAUAAAACUGUACCAUCUAAAGAAAGCUUUCCUUAAUGUAUGCAUAUUAUAAGCAAUUUAAACAUUCAUCAUAAAAGAUGGAAAACAUAAACUCAAAUGGAGACAUGGAUAUAUAGAUAUAAGAGACAUCAUAAAGGUUGCAACAUGAUCGUAUAUCCGAAAUAGCAUCCAAAAGCAUGUCAUCCAAAAAAAAAUCAACCAUAAUAACCAUGUUCAAAUUGUCCCAAAAAGGAAAAAAAUAUAUAUAUGAAACAAAAAGUAUUAAAUAGUUUACUAAAUGUUAUGCCCUAGAUACCUAAAGAUAUCUCCCCCUUAGGCAACAUCGAAACAAUGAGGGAACUAUAUGGCUCAAGGUUGAGGUGGUGGAAACAAGGAACAUAGGACAGCUAUUGAAGAAGCUAAAAUUCUUCAUAAAUGAUUGAAUUUUAUUUCACCAUGAGAAACAAUACAAAGAGGGAUUUUUUUUUUUUUUUUUUUUUUUUUAUCAAGGGGAAGACCCCUUUCUCUUUACUACUUAUCCCUUUUAAUAAAAAUUCUUCCACAUUUUUCCACUUUAUUUUGCCAACAUUCUUUCAACCCCUUUUGCACAAAAAUGCCAAAGAUAGUAUUAGGAUAACCUUUUACAACCAUUGCUAACUUUUGACACAAGUUGCUAAAAAUUGUUGAAGAUUUGCUUUUAAUGUCAGGUAGGAUAGCAGAUUGGUUCUAAUUGAAGGUCAUUUCUUGUGGAGGACCUUACUUAUAAGUGAGAUGAUUGUUCCUAUCUUCAUGGUUUUAUGUUGUAUAGUUAUAGAGACUUUUUAGAGGCUAUCAGCUUUAGAGCAAAUUUAUGUUGUUUGUUAGGGAUUAAGUAUUUUAUUCAAAUUGGGUGAAUGGUACUACCUCUUUACUUGAGAUGGCUUUGAGAUUGGGUGGUUGAAUAGUAGUACUUUGGAAUGGUCUAGUUUUUGUUCGCUUUAGCUAUCAUUUUCUUAUGCUGUGUCUAUAGACGAGUGGAGACGUCAUUUGGAAAUUGGUCAAAUUGCCCGUGAAAUUGAUCAAAUUGUCAAGUUGUCAUCCUAAAAUUGACUAAACCUAGUUUGUAAAAAUGAGAAACGACCGUCACUAGCGACUAACAUCUUCUCAAGCUAAGUAUUAAUAGAUCCAAUCUGAGCAUAAAGGGCAUCUUAAUGUUGCAGGUUCAAUGCUCAUGAAGCAUAAUAUUUUGGAUACUUGGUGUGAGACACCUCAGCAUAAGUCUAAUCCAUAAGGAUAGUCUCCUCAGGAGGUUGAGAUGUGGGCAAUUGAAUGGUGGCAUCCAUGCCCUUGGUUUGCAUCUCCUGUUGAACAUCCUCACCCCCUAAUCCUUUAUGGUCACCCUCAGUCUCUAUCUAUAGAAUCUCUGCCUCUUACUCAACCCGGUCUUCAUUCAUAGCAGGACCCUUUCUUUUUCUUUCCAAUGAUCCAUUAGGCAAUUUCUCAAACAGCAUUCGGUCUGGAUUUUACGUUAUAGGUAUCAUAGGAUGAGGCCUGAAUGUUUUUUUCUCUUCUUAUGUCCACAUUGAAUGCUUUCAGGAUUUUUGUGAUCAGUCUUCUUCCGUUGGCCACUACUUUAGAAUUGCUUUUACAACAGUUUUUCAUGUGUUGAAAGAUGAUAAGGAAACCUUAGAAUGGAUCGGAGUCAAUAGAAAAUGCUACAUAAUAGGACACCUUGUCUCUAUGUCCACCCUUAGGUAGAAAAAUAUGUUUGAUCAUGUGGUGGUGCACCCUAGAGAUAAUGCUCAAGGCAUGGGCAUGGAGCUUUGAAGUCACUGUGUCGAUGGGUAAGUUACAUAUCCUCUAGAAAGCCCUACCUAGGUUAAAACUAGACACUAUAGGCCAUCCCUUCGUCUCAAAUAAACAAAGUCCCCCACAAAGGAUCUCCAAAAUAUCACAAAGCAUAUCAAUAUUUAGUUUAAUUCAACUCCUCUAACAAAUGUGCUAAUUGGCCUUCAUAUAUUUUAGGUUCAAGUAAAAUACCUGAACAAGGUUGGGGUAUGUAGGCUCUCUUGAUGAGAUGGUAUUGGUGAGUAUUUUUUUUUCUUCAAUACAAAACUAUUACAACACUUGGUUUUUUUUUUUUCUAAAAAAAAAAGAAAAAUAAAAAUAGUUUUAUAUUAUACUUAGUUUCAAGAAAAAUAAUAAUCAAAGCAAAAUGAAAAAAAAAUUCUCAUAUUGGUUUCUCGUGAAAAAUAUAAAAGCAAAUAAAAUACAAUUAAAAUUAAUUAAAAUCUUAUGUAUUUUUAAAUUAUUAAUUUUUAUAUAAAAAAUGAAAAAUAGUAUAAUGAAUUUAGAAGAAUAUAUAAAAAUAAUGUAUUAACUUUAAAUCUUUUUUUCUUUAUAUAUAUAUUUUCCCUUCAAUUUUCUAAUACCAACACAUAAUAAGGUUAAUGUCUUCUAGCCAACCAAUUGUAAGUCAAUUUUCAUAGAGCUUUUUUUUUUUUUUUUUUUUACAUGCCACCAAGUAGUUAUAUAAGCAUUUUUGCAUGUUAUUGUUAUCCAACAUACAAUAACUAUAACAUCCAAUUAUUAUGAACAUGAACAAUAAAAUUAGAUGCAACUAACUAUUUAGUGUAUAACAAGAAGUUGGUGAAGUAAUUCAUCCUAACAUGAUUCAACAAUUUUUGUUUAUUUUUCAAGAUUAAUUAUAACAUACCCAUUCUAUUAAAGUUGUUGAGAUAUUUGAGCAAAACUAAAAAUCAACAUUAAUUCAUUUUAUACCCACAAGAGAAAUAAGAUUUGUUUUUUUGUUUGAUAAUAAAGUAGUUGUAGUUAUUAAUGAUAAUUUUGAUCCUAAUUUAAUAGGUAUCCAAAAAAAAAGGAAAAAUGCAAGUAAACCAAUUCUUAUCUAACACAAUUAUUACCACCUUAAAAUCCUGAGGGGUAGCUCAGUUGAUCAGUUCGAGUCCCUUUAGGACCAUGAAAAGCUUACCCGAUGGUUCACCUUAAGAAAAGCAAAGCAUUUAUAUAAUUCAACUGGUAGUUGAUAAGUCUUAGAAAGGGUUUUGCCAUCAUUGGCUUCUCAGUAAAGGGCAAAUUUGGGUUGUGGCUGACAAUUAUUGAAUUUGUGAAGAAAUAUGUGAAGAAAGGAAACAAAAAGAGUUGAGGACAGAAUUCUUCAAUUAAAAAAUGGUUAGCCCAUGAACCCAUUCUUCAAACAGUAAGCCAAUGAGCCAAUGAGCCAAAAAGAAAGAAGAACAGCUGGUUUCAUCUUUUUAUCUUAAUGACUUUGACAACCCAUCUUUCUUUUAAAUACUUGUGACUUUGGAAUAUAAUUAAAAUGAAACUUUGGAAUGCCCACAUCUGAUUCACGGCCUUUUUACCUGUUUUCUUGUUUAACAUUUUUUUAAAUAUUAUAACAGAUGGAAAAACAUGAUUCUAACAGGCUGGAAAAUAGUGGAAGUUGGAACACCAACCAUAACCAAACUAUACCUUCCAUCUUUCUCCAACACUCGGAAUUAUUGAUACAAGUUGGUGGUUUUAUGAUUGUUUCUAUUGAGGGGACCCCUCUCCAUUUCCAAUUUCAAUGGAAAGGUUCUUCUUUCCCUACUUUUUUUUUUUGUUUUUCAAAUUCUUGUAGUUUUGUCUGUCUCUCUCAACAAAGCAAACUGCAAUCACUAAUUCAAAGAAAAGGAAUCCUAAAUGAAAAGAAAAGAAAGGAAAGGAAUGGUAAUUUAGGCUAUGAUGAUGCUCCUAUAUAAUGGCUGUAAGUCAAUAACAACACACUGGACCCGCCUCCUAUCUCAAAAGAUCACAAACCCAAAUAUCAUAUACUUCCAAAUUUCAAUUUGGUUCCCUGUUUAUAUCACAAUCUGUCCUAUAUCCUCUUAAUACAUCUAAAAUCUCUCUAUAUCAUAAAAAUAAUGAUGGAAAAAAAAAUUAAAAAGAAAGAAGGAAAAAAUGACAAAAAAAAAAAAACCUUGGUGCUGCUAUGGGUCCAUAGGAAUUGGCAGGACUGCACUUCUGGAUCCCCUUCCAUGGCCAAAAGAAAAGAAUGAUCUUCGGAAUCUGCUGCUGCAACCUUCACUAGGGCUGAAGUCACUGACAGGCCUGUUCUGUUGCAAAAUCUCUUGAAUUGCUAAAUACAGCUGCCUGUCGUUGGAUGAGUCCAUUGAAAAAGACCUCCUGAUGGGUUGGAUUGAGAACUGAUCAUCUUUGCCUCUAGUGUCAAUGCACUCAUCACCCAUGCUUGCAACAUGAUGAAACUUCCUUGCCUUUUUAGGCACAAUUCUCUGCUCUAGCUUCCUAGGUGAUGGACUAAUUGAUGGCGCAGAUAACUCUCUGGAAUUCAGUCUUUCUGGUGGCCUAAGCAGUGAUGAAUCAGCAGAACUAUCAUUUCCCAAUUCAAUUACUACAAAAUCUUCAUCCCCUCCUAUGUAAUUAUUGGCGUAGGGGCUUGGAUCUUGGGGGGAAGAGCUAGGAGCAAUGAUUUGGUGAACAGGAAACCGGGGUGUGGUUGAAAUGCUUGUUCUGCAAAGUGGGCAAUUAGCAUUGCUUUGAAGCCACACGUCUAUGCAAUCUAUAUGAAAUAUGUGACUGCAGUUUGGUAUGAUUCUUAGCUUCUCUUCUUCUUGAAACUCAUUCAAGCAAACCGCACACUCGCAAUGGCUUCUUUCUCCAAACUCUCUGCCACCUCCUUUCCUGAACUGGAAUAUUGGGAUUGAUCUGAUGACUGACUCGUCCAGGCCUCGACUCUCGAUUGCUGGGGAGUACACCAUUAAAGGGUCUUCCGGGUGCCGACUCCUUGAGAAAGAAAAUCGUCUCAGCAGAUCAAUCCGGUGCCAAUUGAGGCAGCAUUUGAUUACAAAGAUGUAGUAGCUCACCAGCAAGAAAGCAGUGGCCAGGAUUCCUAUUACGGCAAUGGCUAUAAUGGGGAAACUGGUGUCCGAGGAAUGAGAGGGAGAAGGAAGCACUGAGCUCGCCUGGCUUUUGAUGGGAGAAAAGGCUUGUGAUCCAUGGAUGGAGGAGUCUGUGCUCACAAGAUCCAUGAGAGAGGCUAUGAAAAACAUUUAGAAAUGAGUCUAUUCGGAUCUUCAAUUCACAGAAACAUGCAAAUGCUAGAAUAAAAUCGACAGACACUCAGAUAUAGACCCUACAGUUGUAAUGCAGCAUACCAUAAAUGUGAUUGAGUGAGUGAGGCUGAAACAGCAAAUGGGUCACUUCAAGAUCUCAACAAGACAGAAAACCCAUGUUGAAUUCACCAGGAGAGUAUUGAAAAGGGAAAAAUUAAGGACAUAUAGCUGUAUUGAAAGUUGAAACAAAUGCAGAAACAUAGAGAAGAGAGAGAGAGGGAGAAAACCCAGGAGGGUUGAAUGAGAGCGCUGCUGGGGAAGACAUCAAAACGCUUCAAAUUCAAUGAGAAUCUGUUGGGGACCUCUUUAAGAGGACUGCACAAAGCCUGAGCGUAGGGUACGUGGUUGGUUGGUGAAUUUCUCGGCUUCCAAAAGAGAAAUUUGGUGAGAAAAUUUUCAAGUCUCUUGAUUAUAGUAACGUAGCGUUUAUUUUAAUUUUAUGUAACCGAAACUAAUGGGCUGGUUCAAAAAAAUAAAAAAUAAAAAAAGGAACUUUCUAGGAUAGGCCAGCAGUCCACCGUUGGUCAUGUGGUUUCUUUUGCAUGUCCACAUCUUCCAACUAGUGGAGGUCCCUGUCACAACAGUAAGAAAACACCCAAUUGAAUAAAAGUAUGAACUUUUGGCUCCCAAUAUUACUUAUGCCCUCAUUCAAUACCUCAAAUAAAGCAGAGAUUUUGUGUCCCAACUUUUAUGAUUUCAUUUCAUCUUACUUCAAAUGCUAAUGACAAAAGUCCAAGUAUAUUCUGUAAUCACCCACACCCCAAUAGUUUUGAAUCACACUUGAAAUAGUUCCCAUGCUUUCUUAAUAAUUUAGAUAAUUAUUUACAGAAAAAAAAAUUCAGAACAGGAUGAUAAUCAUUUUGUGAUAGCAUGGAAGAAACUUUACUAGCCACUUUGGCCCCAUGAAGUUGAGUACUUGAUGCCAAUUAAUGGCAGGGUGGAAAAUAGAGAAAAGGGAUCAUAGUCAAAUCUAGAGUACAAGGCAUUGAAUCUUUGUUAAUAAUUAACAAAUGGGUAAAGCAUGGGUCACAGGGUCUACAGUUUGGAUUGCAAAAACCUCAGGCUUCUAUAAAAAGCUCAUCCAUUAUCAAUCAUCAAUCUGAAAGCCAGAAAGUCCAAGGCACAUGCAACCCACGACAGGGGUAAGAUUUCUGCAUCAUGUCCCUGAGUUGCAUUCACAUCAUAUGUUUCCCUCCGGGCCGUUCCAAUUUGAAAUCUCAUGGAAAUCUUCAAGAGCAAGGCUACAGAGUUUAAGAUAAUACUAGGGGUGGGUCCUGAUGGGAAAAGAGGUAGUGUAGGAUAGUCAAUAAAGGGCAUGUGUCUCUGGUGUGAAGUCAAAUCCAGUGUACCAUCCUCAAUGGAAAAUUUAGAAAUAGAACCGACACUCUACAGACUGCCGUGUUGACAGAUUAGAGAAAGACAAACCCACUUACACUUGCCUCAAAACCCAGUCCUGCCAUUUCAAAGGCAAAAAAAAAGGGUUUCUUUUUAUAGUCAAAGGUUGAGGCCUGGCCUGGCCUAGCAAAGAAACUUCACCUACUCUUUUCUUAUUUUUCAAAUUAAGGCCAUUCAACUUUUCCUGUUUGCAGGCUUGCUGCCAUAUCUUACUCCAAAAAAGGUGAAAACCCAAAAGAAAAAGAGUGUUUGCUUCAAUGGAAAACUCAUGUUUAAUAAAUUCACCGCACGAGUUUUGUUCCAGCUUUUCCUAUGAAAGCUGUGAUGCGUUUGGUAUGAAGUUGAUUUUGUUCCUAAAAAUUUUGAUCUUGGCGUGGAAGGCAACUUUUUCCUUUUCCCCCUUUUUCUUUUUGAAAAGUUCGGCAUUAGUUACCAAAUGUCCUUUUACUUGCAUGUAGGACAGCGGAAGCAUUACACAUCGCAGCAAAAUCCCAUUUACCCGAAUUUUCCACUAACUCUUUUUAUUUUUUACCAUCAUUUUUUAAUAGAAGUGAUGCACUCUUCAAAUUACAUGAAGCUUUUAAGAAGGUAAUAACCCGUUUCAAAGCGAACUUAACCUACAGAGUAUGUUUUAAAAAUAUUUAGGUAUUUGAUAAAAUUUAAAAAAUAUUUUUUAAAAUCUUUAAAAUGAUUUGUAAUAUUGAAAAUUUAUUUAUACUUUUUUUAAUAAAAAAACAUUUUAUAGGUAAUUUUUCUAAAAUACUUUUAGAGAAAAUGUCUUCCCUUCACUAUAAAUAUUAUAUACUAUCAAAUACACUUUAAAAAUCUGUUUAACAAUAAUUUUAUAAAGUGUUUUUAAUUUUAAAAAUAUUUUUAAAAACAAAUUAAAUUUUUGAUAAAAUUUAAAAAAUCUUUUUAAAAAUUUUGAAAAAUAUCUCGUAAUAUUAAAAAAUAUAUAUAUUUAUAAUGUUUUUUAUAUAAAUACUCAAAAUUCAUUUAAUAGUGAUUUUAGGAAAUGUUUUUAAUAUUUCUAAUACUUGAAAAUUUUUUAUCAUUUAAGUAUUAAAAAUAUUAAAAACACUUUAUAAAAUCACUUUCAAAUGGACUCUUAAUGAUUUUACUAAAAACACUUUUCAUAGAAAACAUUUAUAAAAAAUAAUUAUGAAAUACACUCUAAAUUAAGUAAAAGUUGUUUUUAACAUUACCACUAUUUAUUAAUAGUGCAUUUGUUUAAAAUAUUUAUAUGAAAAAUUCAUUAGGGUGGGAUAUAAAUAUAGAAGUGUUUUUCUUUAUAUAUUUUUUAUAAUAAAAAAUGAUUUUUGAAAUUAUAAAAUUUGAAUUUAAGAAUCAUUUGAUAAUAAUUUUUGUUAAAGCACCUUUAAUACGUGGUGCUUCUAUUGAUAGCGCUUUCAUUUCUAUGAAUGGCUAUAAAUUAUAUUUGAAUAAAUUUUUUAUAAUGUAUUAUAUAAUAAAAAAAAAGUCAUUUUUAAAAAAAUUAUACAUUAAAUGAUUAUUCAAAUAGUAUUUCCUAAAUUUUAUUAAACAUUUUUUUCAAAAAAAAAAAAAAAGUUUUCAAAUACUAGAAAACGUUUUUAAUCUCUCACACGAUCACAUCCAAACAAGUCCUAAUGCUACUCCUAGAAACACUCCAAAACAAAAGUCUUCCUCUAUUAAUGUUCAUAAAAUCCACAUAUAUUCUUCCAUCGUUUUUUCAAAAUUCAAAAUCAUUUCUAAAACAUCAAAUCAUGUUCUUUGGAUUGGCUGACUUGUUUUUUGAAAAUAGAAGGCUCAUUAUUGACGUCCGUUGACUUCAUAACCCAGUCUUGAUCUCUUGAUGGAGGGCAUAAAUGUAAAUUGGACGAAACCCUAGGGUGCGCUAGAGUGUAGAGGAUGAAAGGUUGGAAAAAGGAUGAGGUGGGGGUGUAAUAAAGAGGAGGGUUGGGAGAAUGGGACAUGUGUAGGUGAAGCAUUAAAUUCAAGACUAUGCUUACCAACAACAUAUAAAUAAAUAAAUAAAUAAAUAUAGGAACAGCACAUGGGGUGAGUAGGAGACAUCAGAAGAUGUGAACAACCCCUUGUCAGUCCAAUUUGCGUCUUUUAUCUACUCUAUUAUCUAUAUCGAUUUUCGUAUUUAUUUAUUUAUUUAUUUAUUUUUACCAUUUGAUUUUGCAUGGAUGUCGAAGGGUUUAUUGGCUGCCACGUGUAGGGUUAUGGUCAAGAUCACGUGGGGUGCCUACAUGGGAGUCACGUGAGUGCAUGAGGCAGGCUUGAAUUGCAGGAGGAGCAGGAGCAGAGCAGUGGCUGUUGUCUUAAGACUUUGCUCUCUUGGUGGAACUGCAGCUUAAGCAGCAUCCACGUGUUGUCACGUGCAAUGCGAGCCAUCCACACCACCAGUUUCUUUUUAGUGAUUUUCUAAAGUCAGUUAAGGUUGCAGUCAAUACCUUCAAAUGUUGACAGAGUUAGGGAUCUUUGUUAAAUGGAUUUUAUUAAGAUAUUAGUAAGUUAAUUAAUUGAGGGUCAACAUAACAGAUGGGUCGGGUUGGGUUGAAUCUGAAUUUAAAACGAUUUAAUUUAUGUUUAAUCAAAUUUAACAUUUAACUCGAAGCACUCAACUUAAGUUUAAUUGAAUCUUAGUUUUCAAAACAUUAUUUAAAUUUGGGUCAUUUGGAUUAAAGUCAAAUGGGUUAGAUUAAUCGGGUUAUAUGGUUCAAAAUCCACUUACCUUAUUUUUUAUACAUUAAUAUUAAAAUUUAAAUAAAAAAUAUUAGAAGAAAUUUCAAACUUGGGAUUAGUUGAUUGUAGCCAUGCAUUUGGAUGUUGGUAUUCUUGUUUCUUGUCUUGUUUCCAAAUACCCUUUCAAAUCGCUUUGUUAUUCAAUAGCAUCCUCCCGAUCAUUUAAAAAUUUAAAGAGCAUUGGUAUGAUGGAGGAAUUCAGAAAUUUUAGUUGAAUAAGUAAAAUUUUUCUCUCAUAAAACCAAAUAGCCUCUAUAGCUCAGUGGUAGAGCGUCAGUCUUGUAAACUGAAGGUCUGUAGUUCGAUCCUGCAUGGAGGCAACUUUUUAUAUUUCAUGAUCCAUUAUGCUCUAGUGAUUUAGUUUUCAUUAUAAUUUUAGAUUAAAAAAUUACAUCAACAUUUGAUAAGUUGGUUAUGACUUUGAUAUAAGGAUGAAACUAUCAAUAAUAUAUAUAAAUAUUUUGACACAAAAUAUCUAAUAUAUUAAAAAAUUAAAAAAAAACUCUAAAAAACAUUAUAAAAUUAUAUAUAUAAUUUAUCAUAUUUAAUAAUAAUAUCUUCUACCCUAAUAAAAAAUAUAAAUUUUAUAAGCAUACAUUUAUUAUUACAUUGUAUUAUAUAUUAUUUUACAAGAAUAUUAUGAUAACAUGUCUAAUUUUAAAAUAUAUUUAAUAUUAAAAUUAUCAUCAAUUUUAAUUUAAAUGUAUUUAAUGAUAUCAAAUAAUAUAUAUAUAUAUAAUUUUUUAAUAUUUAUAUAUUUUUAUAUUUAAUAAAUAUAUAAAUUAUGUAAAAAAAAAAGACCUAUUAAGAAGAUUAUGUUUUUAUAUUUGGAUCAAAAUUAAGUUUUUCCGAUAAAAUAUAUGAAACUAUUGAUAAAUUAUUGAUUGAAACGUGAAAAAAAAAAUUCAAAAAAUAGAUGAGAUAUUAGUAAAAUAUCCGAAAAUAUUGAUUGAUGAAUAUAUCAUUUCAAAUUUUGCAUCAACAUCCACAUAUGUUGGAUAUAUUGGCCAAAUAUAUUUAAACCUUGUUUCCAUGAGAAGUCUUUCCUUCAACAAUUUCAAAAGGUUAAUGAGGUGGUUUCCAAGAGAUGUGUGUAGGGGUCUCCAACGGGCGGGCCGGGCCAGCGGGCUUUUUGAAAUAAGCCAAAAUGGCUUUCAAAAAAGGGAAGGGAGAGGAUUUAAACCCCUUCCUUCAUGCUUAAAUUUCAAGGUUCUAACCAAUUGAACUACAUUCCUUUAAUGUUUAUUAAUUGAGUUAGUUAUAUAUAUAUAUAAAAAUAAAGUAUAUUAUUUUUUAAAGGGGCGGGCCUACGGGCUGGGCCGGGCCGAAAGCGGGCCACGGGCCACGGGCUUUUUGGAGACCCUUGGAUGUGUGCAAUCACAUUUGGUAUUAUAGGUGACAAAGUUUGAUAAAUGAGUAAUUAUUAGGUUAACUUAUAAAAUCCGAAUUUGAUUUAAAUUGAUUCAUUUAAUAAUCCCAUUUAUUUACCCAAUUAAAACUUUAAAUUAUUUAACUUAUAUUUAAUUUAAUUAAAAUUUGUUUUUAAAUAAAUAGAUCAAUUAAAACAUAAACAUAUUUGAUUGAAACAUUAAUAAUAUAGAUUUAAAUAAGACCUAAUUCAACCUAACGAUCAAAUAGAAAUAUCUAAUUAUUAAAUAAAUUAAACAUGUUACUUGCUUAAUAAUUAUGUGACAUUUGAAUUUAUGCUUUUGAUAUAAUUAUUAUUUAUAUCAGGUUUAUAUAAUGAAAUAUCUAGACUUUGACACCAGUCAACAUUGUCCACCAAUACAGAUUGCAACUCUUAUAUGCUACAUCACAUCAUGUUGAAGGAAGAGGAUGACGUUCAUUGGCAGCAGAGCCUCCAAUCAUAAGGAGCUUGAGCAAAUUCAAUCUCAACACUGAAAUUCACUAGAAAAAAAGUUUAUUAUUGAUACUUCAUUUGUGUAAAAGCAUUAUAUUUCUUGCAUCAAUCGUAAAGCAUGACAUUCCAGUAGGUACGGAAGAGAAAAUUUGUUAUGAAUUGAAAAAUCUGUCAAGCUUAAUUUGGAGGGCCCAAAAUUGACACGUUUAAGAGCUCUAUCAUUAGCCCAAUGAUAAGAGUCCAUUUCUUGAGUUUCAAGGAAGGCCCAAGUUUAACUUAGAGGGCCCAAUCUUGGUACCUUCUAAAAGGUGCAAACUUUGGCCCAAUUAUAAAAGCUUAUCCUUGCUUCCUAAGCAUCAAUGAUAUAUUUGAUCGAAGUAUUCACAUAACUAUCACGAAAUGAAAUGAAAUGAAAAUGUAUAAGUAAAUGAUGAUUUUGAGUUAUUUACUGACAAUAAAGAAUUAGGUGGUGUUUGUUUUUUUUUUUUUGGCUUUUUACUAAAAGCAAUUUGUUUUCAGAAUUUAGGUUAUUUAUUUUUCUAUUUUUUCAUGACUUAUUAUAAACUUUUUACUAAAUAAGAAAAUCCAAAAUAUAUAGUUUUUUCUAAAUAGAAAAAAUAACAUAUUGGUUUUCUUUUUUUUUUACUUUUUAAUAUUUAAUAGAAAUAAAAUAUUAUAAAAACAAACAACCUAAUAUUUAACACUAUUAAGUAUUAAGGUUUUAUUUAGAAUUAAGUAAAAAAACAAACACUACCUUAAAAUGAAAAGUAUGUAUAAUGACCUUAUACAAAAAAAGUCUCAUUAUUUUCUUCCAAAGAACUCAUACUUUUGUUUUUCAACUAUUACUUUGUUUUUAUUUUUUAAAUAAUAUUUCAAGUUUUUUUUAAUAAUACCUUUCUCUUUAUUAGAUAAUUUUAAUGACUUUAAAAGUAUUUUAAUAUAUUAAUUUAUUAUAUAAUUUUAAUGAUUUAAAAAUAUUUAAAUGUUGAAAUAUUUAUUUUCAAGUCUAAUUUUAAUUAUUUAUUUUUUGAAGUAUUUAAAUAUAUAAUAAAUGUGGGAUUAUGUAAAUCUAGUUGUAAUUAUUUAUUUCAUUCUAUUCAUGUUUUUAGUUGAAUUUGCUCAAAAUUUACACCUCUUUAUUUAAAGAUCAUGGAUUAGUUAGGUGUCUUGAGAUUUUUUUUCUCUCAAGACACUACUUGUUACACUAGAAAAUAAUUUGUGGCUAUAUUUUUUAGGCAAAAAGAAUUAUAUGUUAAAACUUCCUUUAUUGACUAGUUUAUCAUAGGGUGUAGAGGAAAGUUUGUGAUGUCUUUUUAUGUCAACUUUGGGAGAAAAAUAUCACUUUAGCAUUUUCCUUAGAAAAUUUUCAUACAUAAUUGAUUUUGGAACUAUGGAGGAGCAUAAGUAGGGAUAGAUAAUUCGAUUUUGGAAAAAUUAUAAUAGCUUUUCAACUUGGUGUUAAUGAUAUAUUGUUUAUUUCUUAUUUUUUUUCCAUUUUAAUAUAUAAUUGGGGAUUUUAAACUUGUAGAACAAGGCUUUUUCAAUUGAAUUGACACGUACAUAUGAAAGUUCUCUUUGGUUGCUAAUCACAUUUUUUUUUCUUUUGCUUUUUGUUUUUAUCAUAAUGAAUAUUGAACUCGAAAUUCAGUUUUUAAAAUCUUAUGAUGUUUUAAAGUUUAUAAAUAUUAUUGAUUUUUAUAAAUGAUGUUAUUCAUAUCUUGGUAAAGACAAUAUUUUCAUAUCGGUCAAGAUGAUUAAUAACAUAUAAGUUCAUAAAGAAAAACCUAUUGAUUAAUGGAUAUUUAAUGAUUUUUAUUAGGAAUGUUUUUUAAUUAGUUUCAAUACUCAUCUUUUAGAGCAUACAUAUAGGGUUUUAGAUGCUACAUUGGUUUUCAGCUUGUGAUUUAAAUUAUUGAAGCAAAAAAUGAGGGUUUUGCUUUAUGGAACUAUCUAAAGGGAGGUGAAUUAGGCGGUCUUCCUUUUUAAAAUCCAAAAAUUAGAUUUUUAAUACUUAUAUUAGUUAUACAUGUGUUCAAUAAUUAAAACAAAGAACAAGUCCAUAAUUUACAUGUGAUGUGCAUGGAAAAACACCUACAAAUUCUCUCAAAUACUUUACAAAUGAAAAAAAAAUCAAGGAUCGAUCAAUCACAGAGCAACUUCACUAAAUAUGAAAACAUGACUAUACAAUUUUACUUGGAUGAGGUGCUACCUUCUCUUAAGGGUUUUUACACUAGCCAACAAUUACACUCACCUUCACUCUCACCAUGCACCUCUAUUGUGCUCCAUAGUAAACACUUUAAUGACUGUAGCAAGAUUGCGAUAAAUUACUGCGAUUAAUUUGAGAGUGUUGAUAAUGAACAAAAAAUAAUGAUAAUUAACUAGAGAGCAUAUGAUUUUGUAAAAACACCAAAAAGAGGCAUAGUUAUAAGUGAAAACUUUAAUGGAUUGGAUUGAAUAUAUAAUUGAAGUAUGAAUGAAAAAUUACCAAAACAAUGUUCAAAACCGUGCUAAUCAAAGCACAAUCACUUGAGUACUCUCAUGGGGCACUUGAAUGCUCCUUUUAAUCACCGUAAUGCUGAAAUUAAUAAUUUGUCUCAAAUUGUUUUUCCAAAACAUAAAGCAAAAUAUUAUAAAUUUAUAUAAUCAAACCCAAUUUCAUCUUAAAGCUAGCCUACUUAGUCUUAAUUCAUGUCCAAAAAUACUCAUACUUGUCAAAGAAUGAAUAUGGUAUAAACAAAUUCUUUAUUUUCAAUUAUAUUCAAUUAUUGAAAGAAUAAAUCGGUUUACAUACAUUUUGAACAAAGGUAUAUACACAUAGACUAAAUCAAGGAAAUGAGGAAAUCAAUCACAAUCAAAUCAAAAUCAAAUGAUAGGUUGAUAUCUAGGAGAAGGUUAAGUUAGAACCAACUCAUGUAUUCAAUAUUCCCCCUUAAGAUGGCAUAUGGAGAUCAUGAAUAUCAAACCUAGAAAGUAAGGGAUAUGAAAUAUCUAUACCAAGGGAUUUUAUGAAAUAUCAACCAAUUGUUGUUGUGAUUAAACAAAUUGAAUAAGAAUAAUUUCAUUUCGAAUCUUUUCAUAGAUCAAGUGACAAUCAAUUUCAACGUGUUUAUUCUGUUCAUGGAAAAUUAGAUUAAUAGCAAUGUAUAGAGUUGUAUUAUUGUCACAAUAUAGAUGCAUUGACCAAGGAUGAUGAACUCCAAAAUCUAUAAGUAAAUAUUGCAACCAAUGCAAGUAGUAAUCAUUAAAUAAUAUUUCACUUUUCUUCAUGAGUGUUAUAUCAUUGAUUGCUUUUUAGAUCUUCAAGAGAUUGAUAGGCCACCAAGUAAAAUACAAUACCCUAUAAUUGAACAUCAAGAUUAUGCACAAUAGGCAUGGAGGAAGGCAAAAGAAUUCCUUGACCUAGACGAUUUUUUAAAUAGUAUAACACUCAUGUACUUGUGAGAUAAUUGAGACUACAUUGGCUUGUCAAGAAUUUGAACAUAAUUAGCAAUAUUAAGCCCUAUCAUUAUGAGUCAAAGUAACUUCCCAAUCAAAUGCCUAUAAUAAGAAGCAUCCAACAAAGGUUCUCUAUCUAAUUUACUCAAUUCCAAAUUUUGUUUCCUAGGAGUUUUUAAAGUUACAUGUUCCAAGAAAACCAAAAUCUUUUAGUACUUCUAGAGCAUGUUUUCAAUAACUUAAAUAAAUCUCAUUCUUAAAAUAUGUCAUUUCAAUGAUGAUGAAGUACUUUAAUUUUCCAAUCUCUUAGUUAGUUUGAAAAUGCUAUAUAGGUUUUCCUUGACCACCUUAAUUCCUUUAAGAUCAUUCAUUGUAAUAAUUAUAUCAUAAAUGUAAACAAGAAUGAUUGUGAAAUAGUUAUUUGAGGCUUGAGCAAAUAAGAAGUAAUAUGUACGUCUUGGCUUGCUUGUAAACCAUAAACAUCAAUGUGAUAGAUAAUUUGGCAAACCAUCAACGUGAAGCUUGCUCAAGGCCAUAAAGGGAUUUUUUAACUUUGCAAAUCAUAUUUUUGGUUCUAGAUUUCCUACAAACUUGGUGGAAGCUGCAUGUAUACCUCUUUAUCUAAGUCUUCAUAAAGAAAAACAUCGUUGAUGUCAAGUUGGUGAAGAUGUCAAAUUCUAAUUAUACAAUAAUUAGGGGUGACAAUGUGUCUUAUCGUGUUGAGGUGAGAAAUAGUGAAAAUUUACUUAAUCCGACUAUGACCCGUUUGAUAAUCGUGUCAAAAUAACCUAACAUGAAUACAAUUAGUUUAUUUCAUGUAACAUGACCCUUUUAACAUGUUUAAUAAAUAUAUUAACUUGGAUUAUGUAUUAAUUGACAUGAAUAACUCAUUAACUUGAUUUCAACCCCUUAAACUCAUUAACACAAUUCCAACCCAAUAAACUCGUUAAUAUGAUUUAACUCAUUAAACUUGUUAAUAGGAUUAUAACCUCUUUAACCUAUUUAAAAUUUUAAAUUUAUAAAUAAUAAAAUACUUCUAGAAAGUUUAAUUUUUAAAAUUUGAACUAUAAUACAUGUAUGCACCAAUUUCAUGAAGUCCUGAAAAAUUAGCAAAAUUAUAGAAAAAUAAUAUAAACAAAAAUUUGUAUUAAAAUUAAUAAGUAUGGGCUACAAUAUUAGUCAUAGUACUGCUUAUUUCUGAAUGACUUUAUUAAAAAGCGAAGAAUACAUGUGUAGUUCUUAUGUGAUUUCUUAAACUUGUAAGGCGAUUUUAUAAAGUUUUUUUUUUCUUUGUGAAACCUCUUUUUCUAUGUGAAAUUGUUUUGCCGAUUUGAAAUCUUCAUUAAAGGAAGUUACUAUUAUUUAUAAUUGAAAUUAGAGAAUGAAAUGUGGAAUCCCCAUGAUUUAGUUGCUUAAUUCAAGGAAUUUGAUUAAUUGAUUUUGGUAACUUGUCUCAUAAAAUUUUCUAACAAGAAUAUUUAUUUUUAAUCUCUUUUAUUUCAAUUGGAAUAUUUGUUUCCUUUGUAAAUUUGUCAAUAGAAUAUUUAUUUAUUUAUUUAAUUCUCUUUUGACUACAAUGAGAAGAUUUGAUUUUGUUUGUAAGACUAAAUUUUAUAACCUUUCAAAUUUGGCCAAGUGACACCUUUUGAAUAUAUGUCACAUGUCAAAUGUGUGUGACUCAUUAGUUGUUGAACCUAAAUUUUCUUGAAUUAGAAAGCUAUACUUUUGAAGACUAAUUUAGUGAUAAUUUAAUUCAUUAAAUUUUUUUGGUGUCUACAGUAUAUUUAUAAUAUGAAAAGUAAAUUAAAAUUUUAAUUUUUUUACUUGUUUAUUAUUUUAUUUAUUAUUUAAUGAUAAAUAUUUUUAUUCUUUAUUGAAAUAUAUAAAAUUUUAAUUAAUAUUUUAAUUUUUUUAAUUUCUAUAUAUAAAAUAUAUAGAUUUAUAUGGUCUAAUUGAGUCAUUAAAAUAAAUAGGGUAAAUAACUCACACAUAAGUGAUGGAUCAUUCUAACAUGAUUAAAUUAACAAGUUAGAUGAAUUGAGUAGUCAAAUACAAACAUGAUUUGUUUAUUAAAUAAGUUAUAUGAAUUGAUACGAUUAUGACAUCAACUCAAUUAAACUUAACUCAAAUAAGCUUUGUCUUUUAUUUUAAGUUGUCUAGUUGUUCACACAAAUUUUCUCAAAAUAAAGAAAUUAUAUAUAAAAUUGUAAAUUUGAUUAUUUGAGGGGACCAUUUUCAAUACUCUUUUUUAAGUAAUCUGGUGUUUAAUUUUGAAUCAAAGGGGCUUUCAUUAACAAAUAAUAGACUGUAGUUUUCAUAUAAGAAGAAAUCUCAAGCCUUUUUUUCUUGAAGGAAUCUUUAAAUUUUCUUUGAUACUUUAAAAAAUCAAUCUUCUUUGAUUUUUUAAGAAAUCUUUGAAUUUUCUUAAAGUCUUCAAAAAAAAAAAAAAAAAAAAAACUGAGUUUAAGGAAUUUUUUUAAUAACUCUCCAAAUUUCUUUGAUAUUCCAAAGUGUCCUUUAGAAGGGGACAAAUCCUCUAUUUACAGGAUUGAGAGUUUUAUUUUAAUAUUAUCUCUUAAUUUUUAAGAAAUAACUCUCUUAUUUAUGAUAAUUACUAUUUAUUUUAUUUAUCAUAAUUAGUUGCCUAUGAUAAUUAUCAUAAUUAAUUUUUCUAGAGAUAAAUAAUUAUAUAUAUUUAAUUAAUCAUGAUAACUAUAAUAUUUAUUUAAUUUUUUAUUAAAUUAUUUUACAUAACAUAUCAAUAUAUAUUAUUAGUCAAUUAUUAACACCGAAAAUUAAUGAGUUGGCAUAAAAUUUAUCUCUCUAUAAUAGUAUCAAAGCGAGCCUUAAUAAUAACAUUGCUUAUAGUCAAUUUCACAUGCCAACUUUUUACUGGGCAUUGGCGAUUUCAAUUUUGAUAGUCCGGUUAGAAAAAGUAGGUAAAGAUUAUUUGAUGUGGUAGGUCAUUUCUUUCAUAAAGACGAUGGCGGUGAAUUCAUGAGACAGGUGAUAAAGGAGAGAUUCUUUCUUUUGGCUUUGGAAUUUUAAUGAGGUCCUCGAUCCUCAUCCAAAAUACACCUCUCCAAUUAUAAAAAUCUUAUUAAAAAAAAAAAGAUUUGACAUGUGCCUUUCGAACUGCUGGUUUUCUGUUCCAAAAAUGAGAAUGGUUUCAAGUGGAUGAAGGAAGGUGAAGAACCCUUGGUUUUGUUAAGCGAAAAGCCACAUGAUUAAAUAAACAUAAGGCGGCAAAGGCUGAAAAUUUAAAAUUAUACUAAGGAACCCACCCCACAGGGCGACUACACUUUUGGUGAAGCCACGAGAAUGAAAGAUAUCGAAGGUGACACCAAGACAUUAAGCAGCACCAAGGUUUCGAUAUAUUAUAAGAUGGGAUCUUAUGAAAGACGAUCUCUAAUCUCUCUCCAAUCUCUUCUUUAACCUUUUCUUACUUAAAUCCAUUUCCAUGGUAGGGCACAUGUCCAGCUGACCCUACCCCCUCACCUACCUAUACUGCUAUACCCUUUUGUAUAAUUUGAUAUGGAUUGGAAGCCACCCCAACAUCUUUCUAAUUGCUCGUAAAUGUUGAGGUGCCUUUCCAUUUUGAGGCUGCCCUAAUGUGUGGCUGAAGUACGUAGGAAAAAAAAAUUGUGAUACAUGCACUGACGAAUCAAAUCCCAAUGUCAAAUUAUUAGACUCACCUGGUUCUUAAAUUAUUGUGAAUGCCGCUGGCCAUGGAUAAAUGGAAUUAGUGCGUGGCUUAAUGAAAAUUUAUUUUGAAAGGGAUAUUAAUUUGAGAGAAUUUUGGCUGAUACUUGGAGUUGAACGUAAGCAUAUAUGACCUCAUUUCGGGUGUGAUAUUGUGCUUAUAACGAACCUUUCGUUCUUUCCAAUUCCAGUGGGUAUUAAAUAAUUAAAGAAUUCAUGGUUCGAAGGCGAAAGGUAGAAGACCAAAAAGGGAUUACAAAGCCAUCGGCUUGACCAUCCAGAUGCAAUGGAUACAAACUUUGGACUCUAUCGAAAGUUCUUUGGGCACGUGCCCAAGUGUCCUACCCAUAUGAUAAGUUACACGUGGCUAAUUGCGGACCGGUUGCUCGUGCUAAACAGGGUACUUUUUCUACGCAUAUAAGAUGUUUCACUAGUGGGGCUUCACCAUGCAAACUCAUGGAUGAAGACCCUGAGGCCAAGAUGAAGGAACAGAAAGAAGGCGGAGGAGAGGUUCGGUAUCGAGGCGUUCGGAGGCGGCCAUGGGGGAAGUUUGCUGCGGAGAUACGUGACUCGACUAGGCAUGGAGCGCGCGUCUGGCUCGGGACUUUCAAUUCUGCGGAGGAGGCUGCAAGAGCAUAUGACCGAGCUGCUUAUGCCAUGAGGGGUUCCUUGGCGAUUCUCAACUUCCCUAAUGAGUAUCAUACACCCGGCACGGCUAGCUCUUCAGCUUCAUCCUCAAUGCCCGAAGGUGAUCAGCAGGGAAAACAAGUCAUUGAAUUGGAGUACUUGGAUGAUAAGCUGCUAGAGGAUCUUCUCGACUCUGAAGACAAAAAGAACAAGAAAACCUGAAGUUUCUGCUGCCUCGAAUCCCCUGAAAUCUAGUGCUUCAUCGAAAAAAAAUCCCCUCGCUCCUGAUUAACAACAUUUUUAUUUUAGUCAAUGAAUGUGUUCUCGGAUCAUUAUAAGUAUUUCUGCCGAAGUCCAUUGAUUUUUGGAGACUGAAAAAUGUCAGAAAAAUUGGUGCGAACAGGUUUACUCCUUUCUAAAUUAUGCAAUUGAAGUAUUUGGAUUAGUGCGCAGUGUAAACAUCAAGGAAAGCAUGAUCCACUAUUUUAAGGAGCCUAAGUGCUUUCCCCUUUACUCUUUUAGGAUGUCUUUUCAGUGAAGAAAGUUGGGAGACCACCACUUACCCUUUUGAUUGGUAUAUAACUGCCAACUAAUAACUGGACUAACAUUUGGCCCGUCUGGCCCUACUUCUUUGACUUUGUUGUUAAUUUAUAACUUUAUGUGAAGUGGGGGCUGUUUGGGAAUGUGUGAAGCAAGGAUUUGAGCCGACUUCGCCUAAUCUGAUUCUCCAUAAGUGACUUCAUUUUAUCAUAUUGGUGUUUUUUUUCUUCUUCUUUUUAAAUGGCUGGGGAGGAGGGGAUUUGGGAGGGAUGCAAUGCCAUGGUUGCAUGCUGGAUUAUCCUUCCAAAUGAAACAUCCAUUUGGUUUCUAGUAACUAAUUGCAAACAAUUAAAGAGAAUAAAAUUUUAAGAUGAUUAAACAAUAAGUACCUAUGUCCAUGAAAAGGAGAGAAGUUCACUCAUGGGUGUUCAUGAAAGACAUCACAAAGAACCAUCAAUAUGAGAAGAAUCCUGAUACAAUUAACUUUCAUGCAUAAGAAAAGACGCUCAAAAAAGAAUAAUGCUUACAAGGAAAGAAUCUCACUACGAUCAACUGAAAAAAUAUUCCAAUUUAAUUGGAAAUCCUUACAUGGGAAGAAUAUCAAUAAAAUCAACUAAAAAAAUAUUUUAAUUUUAUAUCAAAAUAUUUGUGAUUUAACCCGUAUCAUUUCAUCAUGACUUCUUAUAAAUUUUGUUCCUUUUUAUCAACACCACCCCUUGAGUUGGAGCAUAAAUAUUUAUUAAGCUAACUUGAACAAGAUCUUGAGAAAUUUUGUCGCAGGAUUUGUUUGCACUUUUUUUUUUCAAAUAAAGUCAUAAUUAACUUUAAUAUGUUUAAUCAUUUCAUGAAAUACUAGAUUUUAAGCAAUGUUGAUAGCAUACUUAUGCCUGAAAGCUUUAUCCCAAAUCACAUGAGUACAUGAAGUGAUUGCAUCAUUAAUGGUAGUAUUAUUACUUUAUAUUCAACUUCUCCACUUGAUAGGAUGCAUGAAAGCAUUGUGCUUUCUUCUGUUUCAAGUAAUAAAGAUUAUCACCAAGAAAGGUGCAAUUAAUACCUAGUAACAGAGUACCUAGUGGUAGCAUGCACCUAUCCACUGAACUUGUACUCGACUCUAUGAGUGUACGUUACAUAGUCCUUUUUUCGAAGUCUAAAUGUCCCUUGAUAAAACCUUCUAAUAUUUGAGGUUUUGGUAACAUUCAUGUAUCAAUGAACAAAUUAAUUUACUAGCUAAACUUUAAAAUUAGGCAAUGUUUUUCAAUGGGUGAUCAAGAUCUUGGAAUUUUCAAUGUUGUUUGAAUAGCUUCCACACACAAGCAUAUUUUCUCCUAUUUAGGAAUAAUCCCUUUUUUGAAGGUGUGAUCUUUAUGCUCAAAAAAUAAAGAUACUCAAAAAUUUAAUAUUGACCUUCUCGUGAAGGAAAAGCUUUAUAACUAAUUUUUUUUGUGCAUUAUAUAUAUCCUCAAUAUAGACUUUAAAAAAAAAAGAAGUAACUCCCUCUACAAAGAGUGAAGAGUCAAUUAAACUUUUUUUUUUUUAAAAAAAAGGAACCAAUUACUCGUAAAAGUAAUGAUUAUUUUUACAUACCAAACUUGAGGAGAUUACUUAAGAUCACAAAAGUUUUUAUUAAAUUGCAAGCUAGAUGCAUUUGAAACGAUCGUUGAUGUCUUAGCAACACCUUAUGUAACUCAUCAAUCUUUAUGUAAAAAUGCAUUUUUAACACCCAUAUAAAAUAAUGAUCAAUCCUAAUUUAAUAGAAACAAAUGGUAAUACAUGAAUAUCAUUCAUAUUAAUGAGAAAAGUAAAUAUUGAUUUAUAAUCAACUUCUUAAGUUUGUGUCAAUGCCUUAAUCAUUAGUUUAACUUUGUCAUUCAAUGAUACCAUCAUUACGACAUUUAAUUAACUUAGAUUUGCGUAAAUCCCUUAAUCACUAGUCUAGCUUUAUGUCAUUCAAUGGUACCAUCAUUAUGGUAUUUAAUUGAUCUUAUACCCCCAAUUUGUAUACCCCAUGUUUUUCUUAAUUUACCAUACAUCACUUAACAAUGUUCCAUGCAUGGAUUUUGUUAAGUGCCUUAAGUUCCUUUUGCAUAGCCUUUCUCCAAAUUGGAUGAGGAUUGGCUUCAUUAAUGUCAUUAGACUCAUGAUAUAUGGAACUCAAACAAUUGUUAAGUGAUUUUGUAUAUAUAUAAAAAAAAAAUUGUAAUUAAUGUGGUAGGCAUAAAAAUCUCACAAAUGAGGAUUGAUUAAUUGUUAUAAUUGAGCAACAUGCUUGAGGCUUAGUCACAAUACUAGAACUUGAAGUCAGACAUUCUCUUCAAAUAAGGACGUAUAUACAUUAUAUUGGAUCUCCAUUAAACAAGUAAAGAACUAUUUAGUAGACAAUGAAACCUCAUUGAUCAAUGGUGGUAGAGAGACACAUGAUGACCAGACUAUUCCCCUGGAAAUGAGAAUAAAAAAUAUCAUUAGCCGCAAAAAUCUCAAAAAAAUUUAGAUAAUGGGAUAUAAAGAGUUUAUGAAUUUUACAAUCAUAACUCUUAUACUGGUUUAAGUGGUAGAGUAAUCAAGAACACAAAACGAGUUUGAUGAGUGGUUGAGAUAUGAACAAAGCAAAGAUUUCCAAAGACACCAAAAUCAGAAAUCUCAAUUUUUGGGCUAAGGAUUUCAAGAAGAAAUUUAAAAUUAACUACAUGACUAGAAAAUUUGUUCAUCAAGGAAAUAGAAGUAACGAUAUCAUAACAUCAUAAUUAAUCAAUAUUUUUAAUAACAUGCAUUUGGAACAUGAUAUACCGGCUUUCUAAUAAUCAAUGAUUUUUGGUUCAACCACACCAUUUUGUUUUGGGAUGCCAAUACAACAAGUUUAACGAANNNNNNNNNNNNNNNNNNNNNNNNNNNNNNNNNNNNNNNNNNNNNNNNNNNNNNNNNNNNNNNNNNNNNNNNNNNNNNNNNNNNNNNNNNNNNNNNNNNNAUGUAAGUGCCAAAUUAGGUAGUGUCGACAAUGAAAUGGAAAUUUUGGAAUAUAGAAACAACCUCAUUUUUAUGUUCUAAUAAGUAAACCUAUGUAGCAUAAGAAUAGUCAUUAAAAAAAAAGGUAACAAAAUGUUGAUUUCCAUCCUAUGGAUCAAUUAGGACACAACCCCAAGGUAAACUAAUUUGAAAGUUGCAACAAAAAUGGAAAGAGAUGAAAAAAUAAUAGAGGAAUUUAAGGUUGUUUCAAAAUUUCAAGACAUGCUAAGAAACACAUGAGAUUAUAGAUGAUUAGGUAACAACCUUGGUUAAGUAUAUUCAACAUAUAUAUCCCACGAGGAUAAAUAUCUUCACUAAACUUUUCCUAUUAUUCAAUCCCCUAAUACCAUACAAGUGAAAAAUUAAUGUCACGGUCAAAAAUUUUAAUAAGCUUCCAAAGAGAUAAUAAUUUUGGGGAAAAAAACAACCUAAGAAACCUAUGAAUUGAGAUAAUUUAGGAAAAAACUAAAUGUUCGUUAGCUCUAGAAGGGAAUUGAAGCUCAUCAUCAAUAAAGAUUGUUGCUAUCUCGAAUAAUAUCAAGUAAACCAUUAAGAUCGCUAUUAAUGGUAUGAUUAGCAGCACCAAUUAUCGACAAAAAAAUUAUUAAAAAUAUAAGAAAUGAGAGCUUUAAGAUUAUCUAAUUGAUUUGUAAACCUAGGUAAGUGAAUCAGUAUUACGUUUUGUUAAGGAAGCUUAGAUCCAAUUGGUAUCAUUCACCAAGUUAUUGGAUUAAAUUACACUAUCAAACUUUGGCUUUAAAUGAGAAUGAAGAAUCUAACCACAAUCCUUAUUGGGAUUAGAUAUGUUAUUGCAAUAAUGUUUACAAUCGGAUGAGUGCUAAUUUCUAUUGAAAUCAUGAAGCAAUCUCUGAUCAUUGGUCUUCUUUGUAGAAACAUGAGCAUUGAAUUUAAAAUUAAUAAUUGUUACUUGGGAUUCAACCUUCAUAAUCAUUGCCUGGGUUUCCUAAUCACUUUCAAGAAUUACUUAUAUAGUGAAGGCACUCGAAACUAAUCAAAUUUGUCCUCUUAUAAAGUUGUCAUAUUCAAGCUUCAGAAUAGCCAAUAAUUGAAAAACUUAUCAUACUCCGCAAUUUGUUGAAGAAUAUUUGGGUCUAUUGAAGGGGACAAUAUAGGGAAUAUUUGUCCCAUAUGCUCAAAAUGUUCAAUUAACAAAGUGUUCUGUAUGUUUAGGGAUUUGUUAGCUUUAAUUACACAAAACAUUAGCAGUUUUAGAGAAAAUUAAUUUUUUUUUGCAAUCUUAGGUUCCAUGAAAUUAAAAAGCCAAUAACAAGUCAAUAUGGCUUGAGACCCAGUCAUCAUAUUCAAAGUCAUCCAACUUAGAAGCAUUCAUUUUGCCACUAACAUGUGCUAAUUUCCAUUUUCUAUCUUUCAAGAGAAAAAGACUGCUCUUAACCAUGGCAAAUAAUUGAACCCAUUAAGAAGAUUGAGGAAAGUAUCAUAUGAGGGUUGUCAUUUUCCUCCAUGACAAAGAAAAAGCAACAGAGAAAAACUCAUAAUAUUAGAAAGAGAAUGAAAGAAAUUGAGUCAUAGAUACACACAGAAGAAUCCAAAAAUAAAGCAAUAAUACAACCACAAAUAUGAGAAGAAGCUCAAUUACAAAGAAAGGAACUCAAUACAAUCAACUAAAAAGCGUUCCGAAGUUCAUACGAAAAUAUUCAUAAUGUGAAGAUCAUUUCAUGAUUCCUACAAUUUCUUCCUUCUACCAGUCCACUCCAUACAAGGUUUGAUCAACAACUUCUUCAUUGAUUUUCUGGUCUCUCUCCGGUGUAUCAUAGAGCAUUUUUGACAUGUUUCUGCAAGAUACACUUGUUAACUUUAAGCGACAUAAGUGCAAAAAAAUAAGAUCAUGUUGUAUUGCCUGUGCUUCCACUCUGCCUUGUUUAGUACUAUUAUGGAGCAGUACUUCCAUAUAGAACCAGUGAUCUCCAGUUCAUUAUGUUGCCUUCUUUAAACUAACUUUAAUUAUCUAUACAUAUAAAACAAAGUGGUCCCAUCAAGGGGCUAAAUCAAGAAUCAAGUGGGGCGAACAGGAAACAGUGGCAUCAAUUUUUAAGUCCAUAAGCUUUAAUAAAAGGAAUAAAACCAAGGAUAUGAAUAUGUUAUUUUUUCAUUUGUUCAUGCACUGGAAGAUCUUUCCUCUUCAAGCAUUGAACCAGCAUCCUUCUGUGCAAGUUGCUGUCGGAACCUUCUAUAAUUGUCAGAAGUCUGUUUCUGAAAUAUACAGAUAAAACUUUUAGCAAGUCUUGACAUUGCUCAUCACUAGGACAUUGUACUAGGAUACCAAUUCAUCUAAUUAGGGUUAAGUUGGCAUCUCGUACACUAUUUUUUAUUUUUCCUUCAUCUUUUGUUCCCAUUUGCAGUGGAAGUGGCACUUAGAAUAUCUGAUCAUGAAGAAUUAGCUUUCGGUGAGAUGAUACUAGGUCAAUUGCCAUUAUCUUUUUGAGUUACUGUGCGAGCAAUCUUGAAAAUAUUUUGGGAUAAAUAGAAUUUGUGCUUAUCAUAAACAUGCUAAACAUCCAAAUCAAGUGCUUUUACUAUUGAUAUCAAAUCAGUAAUUGAUUUUAACCUUUAUGCUUAUCUUUCAGAUUCUCAAUUAUGUAUCUUGAAUAAUGAUAUUAAGCAGAAAUCAUGAAUUGAAUUGCUUUAAUUAACUGUGCCUUAUCAAGCUUGUCAGCAGUGCUAUUGCUACCGCGAAUCAAAUUCGCUGUGCUUCCCGCCUUCUCCAAAUAAGCCACAAGCCCAAUUAUAUCCGCCCUCCUCCCAUCUCCAAGGGAUCAAAAAAUAAAAUGACUUCAAUCAAUUUUCAAGUUUUCCAUCUUGAUCAGUAGACCACCCGGCAUGAAUGUUACCCUCAGUUUAGGAAUAGGAAUUCCUUUUACUAAUCAUUUGGCACUAAAAACUAUGACCCCUAGCAAUUCAUUCCCUCCAUUAGAUAUCUGGGGGCAUCUUGGCUCAGCCAAAAAUGAUAAGUCAUUGCAUUUCACAUUGCAUUCAUUUGUAUUAAUGAGCUAAUUUUUUUUCACAGAAUGUGAUGUGAAUCGAAUUACUUCCAACCAUGUGUCUCUAUAAGGGUUUAACAAAUGUAAUUUGCAUUGUCUGUACACUUUUUUUUCGGUUUCUUUUCUUUUUUAUGCAUGAUUCAUUAGUCCACGGAUCUUCUAUGCAAAGUGUGCAGGCCAAACACCUCCUUCAAUGCAUUAUUCUAGAAGUUAAGACUCAGUUUACUCCUUAAUUGAUCUGUUCCAUUUACUUCAAAUCAUUUGAUUACAUUAAAUGAAUCUUGAAAUUCAAAAAUGCAUCAAAGUUAAAAGACCUUCCAAUGCAUUAAGAAAUCAUCUGAUACAAAUAUAUGUGAACCUGCAACAACAAUAAUGUCAAAAUGGAAAACUUAGGUAGAAAAUAUUAGAACGGAAACUUACGACGAACUCAAUUUUUGGCGCCUUUCUUCUUCUCAUCUUCUGAUCCAAGAAGCUCUUCCAACACCGUGUCAUCCAAACACUCGAACUCAAUGACUUGCUUUUCUUGCCCAGAAGAGGAACCUCCCAUCUCUAAACUCCUACAAGGCCCAGAAGAUGACGAGGAAGACGAUGAGGAUGGUGAUGGUGGGGGGCGAUGGGAGCCCAUGAUUUCAGAAUAGUACUCAUUAGGAAAGUUAAGAAUGGCAAGAUGACCCCUUAAGUUAAAGGCCGCUCGAUCAUAGGCGCGAGCUGCAUCCUCCGCCCUGUCAAAUGUGCCUAGCCAUAGACGAGCACCUUGCCUAGACGGAUCCCUAAUCUCGGCUGCAAACUUCCCCCAUGGCCUCCUCCUCACCCCUCGGUAUCGAACUUCUUCCUUUUCCUUCCCUUCCUGCUCCUGCUUCUCAUUCCCUUUCGAAUGAUCUUCCAUGCUAAACGUGUCGAUUUGCUAGGCGCAAUUUUUUUGGUUUCAAAUGUGCUGGUUUACGAGAGGCAUGGAUGCUUAUGUAUAUAUAUGGUUGCCACAGUCAGGUCUGACGUCACCGCUCAAUGUAUGUUCCACAGCGUGGGUUGACGAGCUUUCUGAGGGGGUUUCCUCGAAUUCAAAGCAAGUAUAAAAAUUCGAUUCUCCGACCUUUCCAAUGAGGAUCGAACAGGCCUUUUAUUAGAACCGUAUGAUAACUCCACACUGUUUUCAAAUAGUCAAUGUGAUCUAGAUUCUUCGUUAAUUUUUUCCACCUGACUGAUUGUUUACAAUUUUAUUUUUCACCGUCCCAAAUUUAAACCAUUUACGCGAUUCCCUGGAUUGCAUUUUUCUUUAAUGUUGACUUUACGAGGCAAUAGGACCCCCCAGCAACCCCACUAGGGCGACUUCAUGGGAACCAGAUUACUUUUGGAUCCAGAUAUGGUCCAGAAGAAAUAAGACAAAUCAAUUAAUGUCCACUAAAGUUUUGAUGGAACCCUUAGUCCGUGUUUCCUGUGGAUGUAUGUAUUGUAUGCACCUCAAUUUUCACCAAUCCCUGCUACGAGUCCCUUUAAUUUUGACGUUAUAAAUGUUUUUCCUGACAUUAGCAGAGUGUUUUUCUGCCGUCUUUGAGGACCUUCCACGGCCCAUAAACUAAUAAGGAUCGUCCAGUGAAUUUAGUCUUCCCCAGUUAAUUAUCCUGCGAGGGAAACUUGGGCAGUAAGUUGCCUACAUGAGUGGCUCCCGCCUACAUGAGUCAAGGGACCAUACGUCAGGACGACAACCAGUGUGGUCACACCAAAGUGGGUUGCCUGGACUCCAGGGUGGUCGCUUCAAAGUUGUCAAAUGAAGGCUAGCUUGGCAAGUUUUGGAAAACAAUUAUUGAAAAACAUUUUUCAUGAAUAACAGUUUCUAUGAACAGAUUUUAAGAAAGUUUAUUUUGUGAUUUUUAGGAAUAUUUUUAAUUUAAAUUUUUAUAUUUUUAAUUUUUUAUUAAUUUAUUGAUUAUUUAAUAUUAGCUUAAUUAAUGGAUUUUUCUUGGUCCCAAAUUAUUAAUUUAUCAAGAUUUAAUCGCAUCCAUAAUUAGUCUAAUUUCUUUUGGAGUGAGUGUGACAAAGUGCAAAUUUCUAGAGUUUUAUUAAUGUUAUUCAAUGUCAUAAUUUAACUAAUUAUAUUAAUUAUUUAUUAAUCAAAAUAAAUCAUUCACUUGAAAUAUGAUAAUUUAAAUUAAAAGUUUCAAUUAUUUAUUAAUUAGCAAAGUAUGAACUUUUCUUCUUGUUUUAUUAUUGUUAUUCCAUGUAUAUAAUUUAAUUAACUGUUUCCAAUAUUAAUCAAUAAAAAUAGAAUAUAAGCAUGAGAAGAAUUAGUAAAAUUCAUUGAUUUGGAAUUAGAUAGCUAGAGGAAGAACUUCAUCAUCUUCCCAUUACUUAAAUUUGUAUAAAUUCUAAAUAUUUAAACCCCCCCCCCCCCCCCCCCCCCCAAAAAAAAAAAAAAUGGUAAAGAAAGACUCCCCAAGCUUUCUUGGUUGGUGUUACCCUAAAAUUUGUACAAUAAGAUGAACCAUUUGGCUUAAAGCUUGGUGCGAAACCCCUUAUCAAUUGAAAAUAUCAAUGAAGUUGUUGAAUGGUUUUAGAGGACUAUUCUUAUGCAGAGUGGCAUAAGAAGCGAGGAGAUGAAGAGCGGAGAGACGUUAACAUCGGAUGCUGCUACGAAGGUGGGAAUACGGUUAAUUAAUUAGAUUUUGUGAUGGCUUUGAGUUUGAAGGAGUUAGUUUAAUGGGUAUUAUUAGUGAACUGAUAAUUGGAUUUGAUGUAAAGAAGGUUGGUCCAUUGGAUUAGCAAUUGGUUUGGCCUUUUGGGGGCCCCAUUUCCAAAUGCAUUGCCUUUUACAAGCAUUCAACAUCGCUGGACGUAACCAGGCUUGGUUCACCUAAAAGUAUCGCAUGGAUUGAAUUGACUAAGUUUUCAUUGUAGACUAGCCUUGAUUUUCCCUUGACCUGCCCACCAAAUCCUGAUGCCCACGCGAGGGAAUACCUCAAUUUUCUAAUAAUUUAUGCAGUUUCUCUUCAAAGCUCGUGUGAUCACUUGGGUCGGUAAAAUAAUGCAUUCCUCUACUUUUUCUCCCUUCCUAGAUGCAUGUUAUACCAUUAAUUCAAAUGUGAACAUGGGCUUGGCUUUGAAACUUGGUUCAAGGCCCAACAUGUUGACCCACAAUUGAGGUGUAAUUGAAUUUGUACACUUUUCGACUUUGAUACCAUUUGUCAUUACCAUUGACAUUGGGUCAUUGUUGAUUUUGAGUCCACAACUUUUAAGGUUGUUAUUACAAUUUUAAAUUGCGCCCACCCAAUUUAUAUGCAUUAUCCCUUAUAAAUACCGAUAACCUCUCUUUCUUCGAUAAUAUAAAAUGUCACAUAUAUUAUAUAUCUCAAUGUUUUCUUUUACUUUUUUUUUUUUUAUCGAUCGACAUUCUCUCUCAGAUGAUAUGAGAUGUCACAUAUAUUAUAUGUUUCAAUGUUUCUUUUACUUUUUCUCUUUUUCCUCAUGAUUGACAUUGUCUUUCUCAAAUGAUAUGAGUUGUCACAUAUAUUUUAUGUCUCAAUGUUUUCUUUAACUUUUUUUCUCUCUUCUUUAAUGAUCGACGUUCCUUUUCUCAGAUGAUAUGAAAUGUCAUAUAUAUUAUAUGGCUUAAUGUUUUCUUUUACUUAUUCUUUCUUUAUUAAUAAUCGACAUUUUAAGCAAUAUGUGAAUAUAAAGCAUUAAAAUUAUCUCCAUCGUUUUUGGAUGUGGUAUAAAUACACAAUUCUUAUUUUUGUUUUAAAUAUUUCUAUUGCUAUCUAUUGAAAUUUUAUGCAUGAAGCUACCAAGUUAAUUAUACAUAUAUCUUAAGAUUUUUUUUUUUUUUUUUUAUAGGAUAUAUUGUCCAUGAAUAUUUUCUGCAAUGGUAUCUUGUUUGAUUACUAUAAGAAAUAAUAUAUAUAUAUAUAUAUAUAUAUAUAUAUAUAUAUAUAUAUAUAUAUAUAUAUAUUAUAUUUCAAUGUUUCAUAUUUGCUUAAAAUAAAAAUUAUAUUUUAUCACAAUAUUUGGUAUUAAAAAAAAUGAAAUCUCUCUCAUUUAUUAUUACAAAAAAAUUAUAAUUUAUAAUUUUCUAAAUAAGUUUUAUUUAUUUGCUAACUAUAUUCAUGAUUAAAAGAUUUAAAAUUUAUAAAUAAAAAAUAUUAUGUCAUGUCAUUAAAUAAAUAAAAAUAUAUGUAUAUAUUAAAAUUAUGUUUUAUUGUAGCUUUUAAUAUUUUUUUUUUUAUUCUUUUCUUUUUUGAACUACAAUUUUAAUUUUUUUUAAUCAAAAUUUUUUAAUUUACAAAACGAGUAACAUAAAACUUGCCUUUGAACUUUAUUGGAAUGUUAUAUACUACCAUUUGGCUUUCAAGACAUUAGAAAAGGCAUAAGUGUCCCUUUUAUUUUUCCGAAAGGCAUAUUAGACUAUAGUAGGAAGUGUUGUAUAGAGGCAACUAAAAGUUGCCUUUAACUUUAUGAAGUCAUAUACUCCUCUUUGGCUUUGAUGACAUCAACUAGCAAAUUGGAUUUUGUUUCCUUUGCAACAUUUUUCCAUCCAUUAGCCAGUUUUUUUAUACUGUUUGGUGCUUGCCAACAUGGCACACACUAUGGUUCUUAAAAAGUAUUUUUUUUUUUAAGAUACUACGAAAUAAAAUACACGAUUGAAAGAUGAGUCACAAUAAUUUUCAAAACUAAAUUUUUUAAUAUUGUUAAGAAAAUUUGACCACCAAAUGAUUGAUUUUAAAUUACAAAUACUUUUGUUAGCUAAGAAAUUUGUUGUUCUAUUUGUUUCCCUAUAAAUAUGACAACAAUCAUAAAUAUUUUCAUUUUAAGAUAAUUUUCAAAUAUCUUCCAUUAAUAAUAUAAUAGAAUUAGGAAUUUUUUUUUUAGUUAUAACAAUCUAUAAUUAUUUAAGAGUCUUCCUCAAUCUCUAGGUUUAAGAACUUAUUGUUCUUAACAACUAACAUGUCAUCUCUUAAAAUAAUACAUUCUGCAAUAAUUAUUGAAAUAUGAUAUAAUAUAUAUAUCUACUUACAACCAUUUUUGUAGUACCAUUAGAAUUUUUAAUUACCCAUUCUAAAGUAUUUUUAUUCUCUAUUCUUAAACCAUCAAAAUUUAAUUUAAAUCUUUCAUUAAUUGGAUAAAUCCAAUGAAUCUAACAAGUUAAAGGAUUAUGAAUCCGACAAAACAGUUGAUAAUAAAUUAAUAAUGCCAUUAAUAUGAUUUUAAUGUGAAACACAAUUAUCACAUUUAAUACAGUUAGUCCUUGUAUGAUUAAUGUUUUGGAAGCUAAAAUCAAUCUUUUGACUAUAAUAAGAGUUUCUACUAUUUCUAUUUUUGGAUGAUUUUAUAUUUUUCUUAUUGUUUUAGUUUAAUACAAAAAAUAAAAAUAAAAUUACAUUAGUAGAAUUUUUUUAACUUACUCAAAAACCUAUUUUAGUUGAAUGAUUUUUUUAAAAAAAAUAUAAAUAUUUUGUUAAAAGGGAUAAAAUAACCUUACCUUGUGAAAAAGACCUCUUCACCCAAGAUUACUUGUUCAUAAUCCUUUUAAGACGAAAAUGCCCCCUUCCUAAAAAAUAUUUCAUCUUAAACUUAUUUUUCUUUUUAUUGCCCUUUGUUCCAUCCUUCCGGCUUGGGAGAGAAAUUCAUUCUUCUUUUGCGAAGAAAAAUUCCUAUUGCGAUUUUUCAUUUCAAGUGGAAAAAAAAAUUCUUAUUUCAUUUUAAAGAAAUUGUACAUUUUCAAUCUUUCUCUUUGUUCCUAGUUGAGGGUUUUUUUUGUAAUUUUAUCUUAACACUACAAAUUUAAAGGUGAGAUUAAAUCUUAAUGGUUAUUAGUUAAAUCACAUAUCUAACUUUGUUUUUGUCAGGACCUAUAAUAUGAUUGGAACCACCAUCCAAACUUCAUUAGGUGGGAUACUCCCCACCCUCCCCCUCCCCCCGCGAAAUCCUUGGAUUUUAGUUUUGACUUGGAUUUCAAUUGCCCGUAUCAAUUUUUCUUUAUUUAUUAAUUUAUUAAUUUUCAACUUUAACAAAAGCCUUGAAUCAUAUUUAAAUUCAAAUAACUUAAUCCUAAUUAAGUUCUUUUUAAAUAAAAAUUAAUCAUUGAAAAGUUCAUGUGACUAUUAUAAUUGAGAAUUUAUCCCAAGUUGGGUUUUUUGCAAAUAAAAUUUUAUUAUAGGACAUCAUGAUGCAACAUAACAUAAGGUUGUUACUUAAGUUUGUUUUGACCUUGUAAUAUGUUAAAAUGAAAAUGAAGCCAUUGUAACAGGAGAGAAUGAUGAAGCUGUGGAGAGAGCUUAACAAAGCUUGGGUUGGAGAGACUUCACAGGAAGAGAGAGAGAGAAAUAAAGGGUAAAAUUAUCAAAAGAGAAAAGAAAAAAAAAAAAAAAAAAGAAGGUUAUGUCUUCAAAUAAUCAAUAAGAGAUGUCAUUUUUCUAAUUUUCAAAGUUCUUUUGGUCCUUCUCUACAAAUAUCCCUAUAAAAAUAUUAUAAUAUCAAGUUAAUUUGUCAAUACCAAAAUUUAUAUUUUAUAUUAGGGCGACUAAAUAACAUAUAGAAAGAAUUUUAAAUGAGUAAAUCAAAUCAAUUUUGAAACCAAAACUUAAUAAUUACCAAACUUGUAAUCUUAGUCAUUAAAAGUGUACGAUGAAAUCUAAAUUAUUAAGCAAUGAAACAAAAAAUUAAGAUUAAAAUACAAAACGUUAAAAUCAAGAUACAAACUAUUAAAAUGUAAGUGGGAUAUGAGAUGAUAUUAUAAAAAAUAGUGUGAUCCAACAAAAAGUCUAGUACAUCAUUAUCUUCACUUCCAACCAUGUUUAAAAGGUCACAAGUUCUAGCGGUUUCCAAGGACAAUGUUAAAAAUAAUAAAAAUAAAUCCAAUUAAAUAUUAAUUAAUUUAUUUGAAUUUGAGUCCGACAAAAUAGUUGGUAAUAAGUUAAUAAUGCCAUUAAUAUGAUUUUAAUGUGAAACACAAUUAUCACAUUUAAUACCCGUUAGUCCUUGUAUGAUUAACUUUUUAGAAAUUAAUAUCAAUCUUUUGAUUAUAAUAAGAGUUUCUACUAUUUAUAUUUUUGGAUGAUUUUAUAUUUUUCUUAUUGUUUUAGUUUAAUACAAAAAAAUAAAAAUAAAAUUACAUUAGUAGAAUUUUUUUUAACUUAUUCAAAAAACCUAUUGUAAGGUGAAUGGUUUUUUUAUUUUUUUUUUAAAUAUAAAUAUUUUCUUAAAAGGGAUAAAAUAACCUUACCUUGUGAAAAAAGGCCUCUUCACCCAAAUUUACUUGUGCAUAAUCCUUUUCAGACGAAAAUGCCCCCUUCCUAAAAAAUAUUUCAUCUUAAACUUAUUUUUCAUUUUUAUAACCCUUUGUUCCAUCCUUAUGAUUUGGGAGAGGAAGUCAUUCUUCUCUUGUGAAGAAAAAAUUCCUACUGCCAUUUUUCAUUUCAAGUGAAGAAAAAUAUUUAUAUUUCAUUUUAAACAAAUUGUACAUUUUCAAUCUCUCUUUGUUCCUAGUUGAGGUUUUUUUUUUUUUUUUUUUUUUUUGUAAUUUUAUCUUAAUUGUACAAAUUCGAAGAUGAGAUUAAAUCUAUAAUGGUUAUUGGUUAAAUCACUUAUCUAACUUUGUUCUUGACAGAUCGUAUAAUAUGAUUGGAACCACCAUCCUAACUUUAUUAGGUGGGAUCCCUUUUUUUUUUUCCCCAAACCCUUGGAUUUUAGUUUUGACUUAUAUUUCAAUUGUCUGUAUCACUUUUUCUUUAUUUAUUAAUUUUCAACAAGUUCUUUAACAAAAGCCUUGAAUCAUAUUUAAAUUCAAAUAACUUAAUCCCCAUUAAGUUCUUUUUAAAUGAAACUUAAUCAUGUGAAAGUUCAUGUGACUAUUAUAAUUGAGAAUUUAUUCUUAGUUGGGUUUUUUGUAAAUAAAAUUUAGUUAUAGGACUGUGAUGAUCCGUUCUCAACCGUAUAAAUAUUGUUCGUUUUGAAUUCAAAAUAACUUUUACGGCUUUAAAACAUGUUUACAAGAUUAAGAGGAGUCCAUAUUUAUAUAGCUUCACGAACUUUCCCCCCUAUUCGAUGUGGGAUGUCACAAGGACAUCAUGAUGCAACGUAUAACAUAAGAUUGUUUCUUAAGUUUGUCUAACCUUGUAAUGUGUUAAAAUGAAGAUGAAGCCAUUAUAACAGAAGAGAAUGAUGAAGUUGUAGAGAGAGCUUAACAAAGCUUGGGUUGGAGAGACUUCAUAGGAAGAGAGAGAGAGAGAGAGAGAGAAAUAAAGGGUAAAAUUAUCAAAAAAGAAAAAAGAAAAAAAAGAGGGUGAUGUCUCCAAAUAAUCAAUAAGAGAUGUCAUUUUUCUAAUUUCAAAGUUCUUCUGGCCCUUCUCUACAAAUAUCCCUAUAAAAACAUUAUAAUAUCAAGUUAAUUUGUUGAUACCAAAAUUUAUAUAUUAUAUUAGGAUGACUAAAUAACAUAUAGAAAGAAUUUUAAAUGAGUAAAUCAAAUCAAUUUUGAAAUCAAAACUUAAUACCUACCAAACUUGUAAUCUUAGUCAUUUAAAGUGUUCCAUGAAAUCUAAAUUAUUAAGCAGUGAAACAAAAAAUAUAAGAUUAAAAUACAAAACGUUGAAAUCAAGAUUCAAACUAUUAAAACGUAAGUGGAGACGUAAGAUGAUGUCAUAAAAAAUAGUGGGAUCCAACAAAAAGUCUAUUAAUCAUUAUCUUCACUUCCAAUCAUGUUUAAAAGGUCACAAGUUCUAGCGGCUUUCAAGGACGAUGUUAAAAAUAAUAAAAAUAAAUCCAAUUAAAUAUUAAUUAAUUUAUUUGAACAAUAGAUAGGACCAAAAUAAUAUUCUAAAAGGAAUCAUAGGGAAGUCCUUGGACAACCUACGACAUUGAACAAAGGUACAGUGAGACAAUGCACUUAGCCCUUCCUUGUCAUUGCGAUGAAUAUAAAAAGACACCCUGAUUGAGGGUGCCCCACUAAGCCAAGAGUGAUUCUUUUGUAUUGUAUAACGUGAAUAUUUUUGAACUUUGAAUGACCCUUCCUAUAGUCAUCAUUGUCAAAACUAGAAAAUCAGAAAGAUGCGAUGUACGAAGGCACCAUUGAAUAAGAGGCUUAAUUCUCUUUGGCAAUUAGGAUAAAGUUUCAAAAUAGAAAAAUUAAACAAAUGUACAGUGUACGGACACUUGGGCAUUGCCUAUUUGUUUUGUUCUUCUAGAGUUGUAUAUGGUAAAGGUCAUAUUGGGUUGGUUCUAUUUGGUUAUUGAAGUCGGCUAGAAUAUUAGAUUUGGUUUCAAUCUAAUCCCAUAUGAUAUUAGAAUACCAGCCCAUACAGAAUUUUUGACCAAAUAUAAUAUUUCUUUUAAAUAUAAAUAUAGUAAUUAAUUUUAGUCUAAGAUUAAUUAUGUAGUUUCCUAAAGAGACCACUUCCUAAACGGUAGCUAUGUGGAAGUUGGGCCAGGUCCUGCCGAGAAGGUUUCCACGAGCUGAGCCCAAAACUGAGUAGCUGUGAUGGGAUCAUUCUAGCAUUCAGCCUGAAACUUGUAACAUAACGGAUCGAGAGGCCUGAACUCCAAGACCAUGGUUCGUCAGCCCAUUAACUUCAACAGCACGCAUUUUAGAGGACUGGGCUUGCAAGGGGUGAGGUUUCCGGGCCGCGACCCCAAAUAUGAACAGCCUCAGAAGUGAUAUUGCUUACUGGCACGUGAAGAGCGCAAGCGUAACUAGAAGAUUUGUAAUGCCGCUUUAAUUGUUUGAUUAUAGAAUCCCACGCAUUACGCAUGGAAAGUGUAAAAGAUAAAAGAUGUAGAAUUUUUUCUUAGAGAAAAGUUCGUUUGGAUAUAGUUAUUGUUUUUUUUUUAAAUAAUAAUUGUUUUUUUUAUAAAUUAUAGAUAAUCUUAGAAAUUUAUCUUUAAAAAAAUAGUUUUUAAAAAUAUUUAAGGAGAAUAAAAGUGAUAAAAAAAAACUUUACAAUUUCAAAUUUUUAAAAAAUGAAAAUUAUUUUUAAGAAUAUAAGUUAAUCUCCUGCAUUUAAAUCUUAGGUGGUUUUUGUUUUUUUUACUUUUCGCUGAAAACAAUUUGUUUUCAAAAUUUAGGUCAUUUGUUUUUUCUAUUUUUUCAUGAUUUAUUAUAAAUUUUUUACUAAAUAAAAAAAAUCAAAAUAUGUAACUUUUUCUAAAUAAAAAAAAUAACGUAUUGAUUUUUCUUUACUUUUUAAUACUUAAUAGAUAUAAAAUACUACAAAAACAAAAAAUCUAAUAUUUAACACUAUUAAGCAUUAAAGUUCUAUUUAGAAUUAAGUAAAAAAACAAACACCACCUUAUAUUUUAUAUAAAAGUUACUUAUAUUUUGGUUUUUGGAAAUAAAAAAUAUAAAGCAUAUCCAAACAUGAGCUUAGCUAUUUUAAAUCAUAUCAAAAUAAUAAUCCCAAUAAGGUAAAUGGACUUUUAUACGGAGAAUAAUCUUUAAGGUUUUCAUUUUUAUUGGAUUUUUUUUUUGUGGUGUUUUUUCAAUCCAUCUUCUCAAUUAAUUCCUUAAAAUUAUUUUACUGUUUUUUUUUUUUUCAGUUUCUAAAUAUUUGAUUUUUCCAAAAUGCUUAAAUGGAAGACACUAAUUUUUCAAGAUAUUUGGUAUUACAAUUUUCCCUGUUCUCCCUAUUAUCUAUCAGAUUCAUGGCCCUUUUGUUUUUUCAUUGGUUUUCAAUUUAAUUUUCCAAAUAUUACAUUGUUGUGUUUUGAAUUUGUGAAACCAAUUUUAUAUAUAUAUAUAGUAUGUAAGUCUACUUUGGGUAACAUGUACAGAGAGGUUUUCAUGUGUUUGAAACCUUUUACCUCAAAAAUUAAUUAUUUUUAAUUUUAUAAUAAAUCUUUUUUUAUUUUUUAUUUUAUUUAGGAAAGCCUAUAUUUAAACUACAUGUUUGCAACGCAACACCAUACAUACUCCUAGUGGAACUUACCUUAGUGCUUGAGGGGGAUGCAGAUCUUCUUCUAAACCUAACUAAUAAGCAUAAAAUUGUUCACUAAUUAGCAUAUCUAGUAAAUCAUACAAAUUGGCAAUAUUUCAUGUUUUUCAUGUUUUGUCAAUAAAAGGCGUCUUGACCAUUUUGUGAGUUUUGUAAUAAAUAAAAAAAAAAAAAAAAAAAGGGCAAAAGGUGACUAAAAUGAGGCACUUUGGAAAGGUUAAUAACCUAAAAGGAAGAUGAAUUAAUACCCCCUUAUUCCUCUUCAAAAACCAUUGAGAAAAUGCAAGAAAUGCUCUUAGUUGUAUGCUAGGCUAACAGCCUAGCAACCAUAAUACCCUUCUUUGCAAUUGUAAGCAUUUUUUUUUUUUUUUUGAAGGCCAAACAACGUUGCAAACUUCCCAAAUCCCUUCUUUAUUUUUUAUUUUUUUAUUUUUGUUUUUAGAAGGAGAAUGAAUUUGAUGACAAACUCCUUGUCAAUCUUAUCCAAACCACGAUCGAACAGAACUCCUUGUCAAUCUUAUCCAAACCGUGUUCCACCUCAAAAACAUGUGUAGGACUUAAGGCAGCAACUGGCAAGCAUGACUGAUAGGGCCAAGUGCCCUUGUCUCUACAAUCCAUUAAGUUAACCAAGGGCAGUGAACCAUCAUUCUUUUCAAAAGCUUCAUUCCGUGUUGAAAAUGUGAGACUGAAGCAUGGUGCCCCCAAAAAUAACGAUCUAUUUACUAGCAGCAUGCCUGGACCCAUUAAAAAUACUCUACUUUAGGAAUAGAAAAAAUUACAUCUUUAUCCAAUAAUUUUAUAACAAUUCAGACGUUUCAGUCUAUAAAUAAUUGUACAUAGUUGCCAACGUUUAGCUAGUUUCAAAUGAAUAGCCUAGGUUCAUGCACCAGUUUGGCUGGUGGAGGAAAGGGAUUCGAGACAUUGAACCCUCUUUUUAGUGUGCCAAAUAUUCCACAAAAAUCACUACCUUCUCUUUGUGUUUGUUCACUUUUAGUUUAUAUUUAAUAAAUCUAUGUUUUCGAGUAGAGGUUGGGUUCAGGUGCGACCCACGUCACCUCUCGGACGGUCUUGAAAAAGGAGACCGGACCACGUAAUUUCAAAUGUAGUGACCAUCUCACUUUUACCUCCAUCCUUGAAGAUGGUUUCCCAAAUCAAUAUUAAUCUUUUGUUUACGACAAUAUCGAUCACUUUAUGUCUAUAUCGUUGUUAAUUUACCUUUUUUUUUUAGCCACAUUAUUUGAAAAUUGAUGCAAACUUUACCAACAUCUUGGUACCAUUUUAAAAUAUUAGAGUUAUUUGAUUAAAAAAAUAAAAUAAUCUCGAUAACUUGUUUAUAAAAUAAAUAUCUUUUAACAUUUAGACUAUUCUCACGCAUGCUUUAAAAUUGUAAAGAUAUUCAUAAAGUGGAACUUUAGACUUAAUCAAUAUCGAUCACUUUAUGUCUCUAUUGUUGUUAUAUUUUUUUUUUACAACAUUAUUUGAAAAUUGAUGCAAACUUUACCAACAUCCUAAUACCAUUUUAAAAUAUUAGAGUUAUUUGAUUAAAAAAAUAAAAUAAUCCCGACAACUUGUUUAUAAAAUAAAUAUCUUUUAAUAUUUAGACUAUUUUCACCAUGCUUUAAAAUCAUAAAGAUAUUUAUAUUCAUAAAGUGGAACUUUAGACUUAAACAUGAUAAUAGUUUUUUUACAAUAUUAUAAUUAUUUUAUCGUUUUAAUUAAGCCCUUUAUCAUACAUAUAAAUGUAAAUUAAUGCUAAAUUUUUAAAGCAACGUAUAACCUUUUACAUCUUUUUUUAAGAUGGUGCGAAAAUCCUAUGAAAAAUAAUAAAAGUCGAUGCAUAAGAAGAUUGUUUUGAUAAUUCAAUAGAAAAAUUCUUUUAAAAUGAUAUUAAAAAAUACCCAUAGAGCCUUUAUUAAAAAAAUCAAUUAUUUUCAUAAUAAAAAUUAUAAUUUUUUAUUAUGUAUUAUUAUUUUUAAGUAUCUUUAUUACAAAUACUUUUUUUGAGUUUAUGAGAGGAAUCAACAGGUUGGUACAAGCUUAGGCGUCCUCGUACAUGUUCCCGCUGUGCAAGGUUUUUGUCUUGUUUCGAGCUAGUCGGAAUUUACGUGUUUGAUAACGUUUUGUCCUAUUUUUGUAACGCUUUAAAGGGCGGCCCACCGUUGGAACAGUUCAAGCCAUCCAAAUCAGCCCGGAGGGUUAUGGCGACGUGGCAUGACGCCUACCACCUUAGUUCACAUGAACCCUAUGAUCGUACUACCCUCACAUGACAUCUGUGAUUCUUCACCUCCAAACCCUCUUUAACUUGGUAAUGUAUUCAAAGCUUCAUCAAAUCAUAGCGAUUAGCGACCCUCUUCCACCCUAAUUUUAUAAUAAAAAAUAAAUCUUAGUGGACAUUAAAGUAGUAUUUUGUGGGGGGAAAGAAAAACUCUAUGGGCGUAUCCACUAAAUACGAGCCAAGUAUAAGAGUUAUCACCAUGGAAUCAAAUUAUGAAGCAUUGACAUUUUAAUUGUAUUCAGAUUUGAGGAGGGCACCGCGGCACCAGCUGGCCCAGUGUAGUCUGCUAGCCUACCCGCCAUAAUGACCAAAUUAAUAAAGUAAAAAGGAUUACAGGGAUAUUCCCAACUUUAUUCUGGGUCUGAGCUGGAACUUGGGAGUUAUCACGAUCAACGGGAAAGAUGGUGGGUAGGGGACGAGGAUUGAGGGCUCCAUAUUCACAUCAGUGAAAAACGAAAUGUAUUGAGACAAGUCUUCUAAGGAUUUUCUAGCGUAUUAUAUGGUUUAAAUGAUUAUAAAUCUGUAGUUACUGGUAAAGAGUAGAGAGUGAAGACGAAAGACGUUGAGUGAAAAGGAAGGAGGAGAGGGGAUGGGGCCAUCUUACCGUGUCGGGGAGGAUCCAUAAAAGGACUACGUUCCCUGAAUCUGUAGGCAUCAUGCCUCGCCUAACGGGUUAGUCAAAAUACAGUGAUGUGUGUGAGUUGGGGGCCUCACUCCUCAUUUCUUUCCUUCUUUUCACCCCCACCCCCACUUUUUUUUUUUUUUUUUCGAAUUUUUCUUUGUCCUUUUCUCUCACUUGCGCACGCGGGAGAAGGACCACAAACUAGACAAUUCCUCUGCUCACGUGACCCCGAGUUUUUAAAUAUUUGCCUAUUUGGAAAAUAGUCAUGAAUCAUGAUCGUUAACAAACAAUCUUCACUUUAUUUAUUUAAGAUCUAUUUUUUGGAGCUCUAGUUUAGUUUAUUAUUAUUAUUAUUAUUAUUAUUAUUAUUAUUAUUAUUAUUUAGUAACUCCUCUUAUAUUAAUGAAAAAGAGAGGAGGAAUCCAAACUUGUUUAUUCUUCCUCUUUUAAGGUGUUUGUUUUUUUUAUUUUAUUUUUAUGCUUCAUAUGUCUUCAAUUUCUUAGCAUUUGUCUUAUAUUUCUUCUUAUCCGAUUCAUUAUUGCAUCCUUGGUCAAUCUUUCACGAGGAGUGCCUACUUUUUUCCUUUUUAUUAUUUAAUUCACUUUAUCUUUAUAUUUUCCUUUUACACUUUAUUUCCAAUUCAAAACGUGUCAAAAAAAAAAAUUGGUAACAAAAAAAAAAAAAAAAAUCAAUUGUAAUGAUUCUUAUAUAAUUUUAUUUAAUUUUUAUUAAACAAUAAAGAAAUUAAAAAUAUAUAAAUUUUUAAAUAAUUAUUAUAGUCUUUCAUUUUUGUGUAUAAUUUCUUUUGCAAGAAAUAGUGUAGGCUUUCCACGGUCUAAAGGAAAUGGAAUAUCAAAUGAGAAGGUAAUAAUAAUAAAGUGAGUUAUAGAUACUAAUCAAACUAAUCCACUAAUGAAUUAUUUAUUUUUAUUUCACAUGGACAAAUCCUAAAAGUUGGAGUUCUAAUUUACUUUUAUGUUAAGCUUUUUUAAGUAAAAAUCUUUUAUUAUUAUAAUUUAUAGACAAAAAGAAACCCAUUAAUGUGAUGGAUAAAAAAUUUCAAUUUAAAAAAAAAAAAAUUAAAGUUGCUAAAUUUUUGUAUUUAUUAUUUCAAACUCAUUUAAAUAAUUUAAAAAUAUGUCUUCAAUUAAUUUUAAUGAAACAAAGCAUGAUUUUUUUUUAAUUUUUUUUUCUUUACCAAAUAAAGCAUUAUUAUAAUACGUUGAUUAAAUUUUCAUCAUGUCUCUCAAGAUUUGGAUUAAAUAUACUUAGUUGUCAUAAAUUUGAAAUUUUAUUUAAUGUAUUUUUUAUUUUAAAUUAAAAAGAUGAAUGCAAAUAAAAAAAAUAUGUAUAUUUUAUAAAAUUUUAAAUUAAACGAAGGAUACGUGUAUUUAACCAAGGUGAAUGAAAUUAAUCCAAAUACUUUUUGGUAACUUGCAAAAUAUCUUGACGAAAUCAUUAUGGCAGGCAUCGUACAAGCUCAACCCUUGUCGCCUUGCUAGAAAUAGAGAAACAAAAAGACCCCCAAAUUGGGUUGCAUCCUAAAUAUGAAGAAGUGGUAACAAAGGAAGAAAAAAUGCUGUGUUAUUGAAUAGUUAAUACAUUGAACAUGAUAUGUUACAUAGAGAGCCAGAUUAAUCCUAGUGGAAUUCCACUGUCACGAUGGUAACCUAGGGUUAUGUUUGGUUAUUGAAAAUACCAAGAAAAGAAAAAAAAAUAUAAAGGAAAAUAAUUUUUUCAUUUUUGAUUGUCUUAUAAAAGAUAUAAAAAAAAAACAAAUAUAAUUAAAACUAAUUAAAAAUUUAGGUAUUUUUAAAUUAUUUAAUUUUUAUAUUAAUGAGCGAAAAUAAAUAAAAUAAGUUUAAAAUAACAAAAAAAAUAAUUUACCGAUUUUUAAUCUAUAUUUUAUUUUACUUUUUCUUUGUAUUUUUUUUUUCUUAUAUUUUCCCUCAAAUUUUCUGAAUCAAACAUAGCAAAAAAGGAGCUACCCCUUUCGAAAGAAACUCCCAAGAAUUUCAAAGAAACCUGCUGAGAUAAUGAAUGAGGGAUCACUGUCGGUAAACAGUAUCCAUUCUUUUGGGAGGACUUUCAAACUGAGAAGUUGUUUUCAUGACUUGGAAACAAAAUUUUGAGCUCUAAGGGGGUCUGUAUUUGGGCCCUAAAAUUCAAUCCAUCAAUCUGAAAAAUGCUUAGGAUAAUGAUUUGAUUUAGCCACAAUCACUAAACAAAUUCCAGAGGAAAAUUUCGCUACUCAUAGGUGGCUGAUUCUCAUAAAAAGACAUCGUGGUAGGGUGUCUCAAGUGCAGGCUCACCAUCAACUUGCUGCCCUUUUUAGAUUAUUGUAAAAUGAUUUCACAUGAAGCCCAAUGCAAAACUUUGAAAGAAAAGGUUGGUGGAGACGUGAAGAAUAUGUAACCCAUAGGCCAUAACUAGUACCGAAGAUUAUUGAACAAACAUUCAAGGUUUUUGUAUAGACGAAACUGAAAAGAAUGUGUACCAGACUCAGGCGUUCAGAUCAGAUGAUGCCGUAAUGUGGAUUGUGGAGGAGCAUUGUGCAGACAGAUAAUGAGAUUCUGAAAGCGAGGCCACUGAUGGGCCCUUGGAAGGGGGGCGUGCCUUCAAAAUUAUAUAUAUAUAUAUAUAUAUGUCAUUGAAAAUUGGAAGCAACUUUUCUUCUUAAGUUAUUUUAAUCGAAGAAGAAACAAAAAGUUAAAAACAUACAUUAUUCUUCCUUCUUACGAGGUUUCCGGGUCUAAAUUACUAUGGUCUCUGCAACUGGCGUCGUUUUCUCUCCCCUCUCUCUAUUUUCCCUUUAUUUUUUCACUUUUAGAAAGAAGCAUCCCAUCAAGAAUCUACUACAACCCUACGCUUCCAUUUUGAUUUAGAAAGUUAAAAAUAAGUUUAAGUUAAAAAAAAAUAUUUUCUUAUAUAAUUAUUUAAACUUAUUUCUUUUCCUUUUUAUAUAAAGAAACAAAUAUUUUGCAAAUAAAUAAAUUUCUAAUUAUUUUCAUUAACAUAAUAAUAAUAUUUUUCAUAUGACUUUAAUCACAAUUUUUUUUACCACUUGUCCAAGGCGGUGAGAGGUGAUAAAAUGUAUUAAAAAAACGAUUAAAUUGCAUUAGGUAUAGAAGUUUUGUGCUUCAAUUAUCACUUAUAAAAAUAAAAUAAAAAUAGUCAAAUUUGAGUGUGCAAGUUGGUAUUCGUAUGUAGAAGGAAUUGGGGGAUUUGGGGGUCCUAACAAAUUUGAUAUGAUUGAUGGAAGGAAAUGAUUAUUAUAGGAUAAAGUCCGAAUGAAACGCUGACGAGGGGGGAAAAACAACAGUGGCAAUGCACUAUCCACAGAUCCAUGAUUGAUUUAUGUUAGCAAUAAUGAAUUAUUUUGACUUUGAUAACCUUGGUUAAGAGAAUUUGGUCUUGUUAUUAUCAUUUUUUCAAAAAAAAAAAGUGUAGGUAACUAGGUAGUUGAUUUAUUAGAAUUUAGAAAUGAGGAUCCCCUCCUCCUGCAAGAGCCGUGACAGACAUGCCUGCUUUCUUGCCAGAUUAUACCAAUGUGCCCAAAUAAUCCCCCAUCUAUCAUCUCUGCACCCUGGAACACGUCACUCCCUCCUUUGAGCAAUAAAAUAUCUCUUUUAUUUUCUUUUGAACCACUCUUCUAUUUCUUUGUACCAGACUGGACCCAUUUAAAUUCUUCGCUACGCUGUUCCCAAGGACUACGAGAAUCAAAAUAGCAAAAUUCUUGAAUCAUUUUAAUGGGUUCAGAAACCACAUGUUUCUCUAGAUCAUAAGAGGAAAAUCUUUUUGGAUGGUGUUUGUGUUGUGUUGUGUUCAAUAUUAAAUACUCAAUUAAAUAAGCUAAAUCAAAUAUCACAUGAAAAAUAAUCAAAUUAAAAAUAGGGAGAAUUAUGUUUUGAGGGUAGAUGGACCCCAAAUUAACAAAAGGUUCAUGUAACUCUUCAAAUUGAGCCCAGACCCAAUGAAAAUAUGGAAAUUGAGUUGAAGUAUAUCAUCAUUCAGUAUUUCCAAAAAUGUCCUUUGUUGAUUUUGAGAAAAAAAUUAAUAUUUUUGAAAAAUAUUUUUAUGUAAUUUAAUAUUUUUUUAAAUACUUUUAUUUAAUUUAAUAUUUUUAAAAAAUAAAUUUAUUUAAUUUAAUAUUUUAAAAAAUAUUUAAUUUAAUAUAUUUUUUAAAUACUUUAAUUUAAUUUAAUAUUUUUGAAAAAAAUUUUAAUUUAAUAUUUUUGAAAAAAAAAUUAUUUAAUUUAAUAUUUUUUAAAACUAUUUUUAUUUAAUUUAGUAUUUUUGAAAAAAAAUUAUUUAACUUAAUUUUAUAAAAUAUUUUAUAUGUGUUCUUAAAGGGUAUAUUUGUCCGUUACUAUUUCAUAUCCUUCAACUCAAUUUAAAGAGUUAUAUGGACCUUUUGUUAAUUUGGGGACCCAUCUACCCUCAAAAGAUAAUUCUCCCUUAAAAAUAUAAAUUUAAAUAUGACAUAAUUAUUAAAUAUGUUAGAUCUUGUAUGAGUUUAUAAGAUUUAUGUUUCAAAAUAACAUGUUUAUAAUUCAUCUAUUGAUUUAUAAUCAAAUUUUAAAUAAAUUAAAGUUAUUCAAGUUAAUAAAUAUGAUUUAUGUUAUAAAGACUAACUAAAAAAUAAUUUAUUAAUUAAACGGAUCCUGGUCAAUAAAAAUUUGAUUUAAAUACGAUCAUACUUAAUCAAAACUUAGGUCAAAUUGUAUUGAUAAAUUACAUCAAAACCUUGUUGUGUUCAAUAUUUUAUAUUAAACUAUUUUUUAAUAAAAUUAUUUUUAUAAAUAUAAUAUUACAUCAUUUGGAGAAACAAAAUAGUAUUAUAUUGAUUUUACAUAUAAAGCAACCAGUUAACCCCUCAUUAUUUUGAUCCAUUUCACAUCCAUAUCAUUCUCAUAAUUUUUUUAUAAUAUAUUAACAUGAUGGACGGUAAUUGAGGGUAGAAAAAAAAGAUGAGAAGAAUAAAAUAAUGUGAAUCCUCUCUAAAUGUUACAUCUUCUGACAAAUGAAGUCUAUAGAAAUGUGUAAAAAAAAAAAAAACACUUAAUUGUGAGGUUCACUUGAUUUAGCAAAAAAUUAAUAUUUUAUUUGUUGUGUGAUUUAAAAAUAAUAUUUUAUUUUUAAAAAUAAAAAAUUAUUUUUAAAGUUUUUUAACACUAUUUUACUAUUGUUCUUUGAAAUAAUUUUUAAAAUUAAAAUGAAAUAACUAAUAAUUUUUAGAUAAUAAAUUAAAGUUGUUUUUAUUAGAUUUUAAAAAUAAAAGAAAAAUAUAAAACCAUUUGAUCAAAUUUUUUUAAACUUAUUUUUAAAAGGUUUUUUUUUUUUUUUUUUUUUUUCUAUCCUAAGUUAAAAGAUAAAAAAUAAUUUUUAAAGAUAGGUUACGAGCAAAUGCCACAAACUUUUUUCUUCUCUUUCCCUUGUUCGGAUAGAAGUGAAAAAUAUCCUCCCAUGGAUCGACAUUACGUGAGCCAUCACCAUUCCCCAACUGCAAUUCAACCGCCAAAGCUGAGGUGUCAUUAUUAGUUUGAACAAAAGUCAGCAUUGUCCACGUGGUGACAAGCGGAACUGACCCAACUUGCAAGGCAAAAAAAUAAAUAAAAUAAAAUGAAAAAAUCAGAUCACCAUUAUGACGUCAGUCCAAUUGCUGACCUGGCCGCCGUCCCCCAUUUGACCCACGUGUUCAUUUAACCCAUUCGCCGUAUGCCGUGGCUCCCCACCCAUAUGGCCAUAUCUGCCAUUUAUUUUAUCCGUUGCCUCCAUUCGGUUUUUGGAUUUUACCCAUUCGCCCUCGUCUAUUCCCAUUUCCGUAUUUGCCCACCAAGGAAAUUCAAUUCCCAUGCUUUUGUUUUACAUUCAAAUCCUCCCCCCUCUAUAUAAAGGAGGGAGUAGGGCUUGAAAGUUUCUCAAGCCAACAUGGACUGUUGAGAGUGAAAGACAGAGGAGCCACAAACAAAUAUCACUCACUCAAACCAAAGCCAAAACCAAUACCGAAUUCAAUUCAAAUGACUUCUUUCUCUCUCAUCAAUUCCCUGAAUUCCGAUUCCGAUUUCAAUUUGUUAUCGGAUUCUUUUUCCUGGGAAAACUCCCUACCUUUCAAUGAAAACGACUCCCAGGAGAUGCUCCUCCUGGGCAUGCUGGCCAGCUCCACUCAGGAAACCUCAGAAACAGUUUCUUUGAAUCGAGUGAAGGAGGAAGAAGUGACUUCCCAGGAAAAUCCCGAGAAGGAGAAGUCAUACAGAGGCGUUAGGAGGCGGCCAUGGGGGAAAUUCGCAGCAGAAAUAAGGGACUCGACCAGGCAUGGCAUAAGGGUGUGGCUGGGAACAUUUGACAGUGCAGAGGCAGCUGCUCUGGCCUAUGAUCAAGCUGCUUUUGCGAUGCGGGGCCCUGCGGCAGUCCUCAAUUUCCCGGUGGAAAGAGUGAAGGAAUCGAUGCAGGAGAUCAAGUGCAUCUUGGAGGAGGGGGGCUCACCAGUGGUGGCCCUCAAGAAGAGGCACUCUAUGCGGAGAAAAAGUCCUUGCAAGAAACAUAAAAGUGAAGAGGUGAGGUUAGAAAAUGUGGUAGUGCUGGAGGAUUUGGGUACUGAAUACUUGGAACAGCUCCUCACUUUCUCUGAGACCUCUAGUCCUUGAUCAUCAUCAUCCAUCACCUGGAUAGCUUCUUCUCUUUGCUCUGUUUCUUACUUUUCUCUCUCUCUCUCUCUCUCUCUCUCUUUUUUUUUUAUGUAAUUUUUCUUAAUGUAUUUUUGGAGAUGGCGGGGGUGUAGUGGUGGCAAUUAUCCAUCUAGAAUUUUUCAAAAGAUAUGUUCUUUUGUUUCUUUGUAUAAAGUUGAAAAGUGGGGAUCAAUUGUGAUGGUGCUCUAUGUUCAUCCACCCAAUUUAUAUAAUCAAGGUGAUUAAUGUUUUUUGAUAUCAACAAUUUGUGAAUGACAUAGAGAGAGAGAGAGAGAGAGACCUUAUUUUCUACACUCAUUACGGUGGUUUCCAUUUGGGGAAGGAAAAGGAAAUGGCUAAGAAUGUUACCAAAAGAAGUGGGGUGGCUUUCAUAUGCGUGGUGGCAUACUUGCAUACAAACUUUUCAAUUGUGUUCUGCAUGCCACUCGGGUCAAUUUCAUUUCUUUUACUCCUAGUAGCCUAAUUGGAUUUCCUUUUUCUCAUGAGACAUCAAAUAAAUUUCAUUUUUUUAUAUUUAAAUAGUUAGGUAAGUUUGAUAGUGAGUUAUAUUUUAUACAUUAAUUCAUCUUUUAGAAUGUUGUCUACAAUAUAAACAGUGUAAUUAAUUUCAUCAUUACAGAACAGUCAUCUUAUAAAAUAACAUAAAAAUUAUUGGAUCACUUGUAUGGCACCACUGAUUUGGACUUGGUAUGGCUCUGUUUGGCUUCAUAGAAAAAAUUUGGACCCAAUUUGAAUGUCUUGCAUAAAAAGAGAUACGUCCCACUUUGAAUGAUAUUGAAGAAAAAAAUUUCUGAUGAAGAAUAUAUUGUUGGCAGGGUCAUGCAGGCCAAUAGGGAAACGAUAAAUUCAGAAGAAUGAGUCCAAACCAGUGGGCUUGAAAAUUAAGAAGAGAAUUGCUGUAUAAAACAAUCAUUUCUUAAUCGAGUUCACUUUCUGAAUAAUCGUCACUUUGAGAAUGCAUACUUAGGAAGAUGAUGAUCCUUAAUGGGAAUAAUCAAAGGCAUCAAAAAAUUGUUCUGGAACAAUUCUUGAUUGUCUCCAGUAAAAUUCAAAGUCAAAAGUCAAAAGUCCAGUCGGUCAACACCAAACCAGGCCAGUCCAAAAGACAUUAAUUUGCAAUCUAGAAUCUAUGAUGAGGUGGCGAAAUCAAACCUUGGCUUUUCACCAGGGAAUGGUACUCUGAAUUUGGUCAGUUCACUGUUUCGAGUGAAUAGGGUGUAGUAAUUAGUAAAUCAUAUUUUAGAUUUGUGUCACAAGUUACAAGGGAUAUGGGCUGACGUUCAAUUUUGGCGACAAUUUGUGGGCCCGUAUAUUUGUUGAGAUGUGGAAAUUGGGUGUGUGCUUUUUUCUGCUACCACAUAAAUAUAUUUCUUUGAAUUGAAGAGUGUUUCAGACCAUUUUUUUUCAAGUCACAAAUGGACAACUGAUUGAGAUUGUAUUGGUGAGAGUAGGAGUUUAUUUUGGGCUGGUUGAGCGAAGUUGAAAGUCGAGUUGGACCUAACCCUUGAAUUCAGCAGACUACAGUCCGAUCCUGUAUUUUGGAUUUAGGGAACCUUCUUUCCCAGAAGCUUCGUCUGGGUUUUAAAGUCUAAAUGUGGCUACUCUUAAACAUUGGAGAAAGGAUGAGCGUUCACAAGCAAAUGGGUAAUUGUGGAUGGUUCAAGGACCUGGCCAGCUGGUCUUCAAGUUUGGAUGCCGGUUUGGGCCUGAGAGAGUCUUUGCAAAGUGACUUCACUUCAGCCUAUGAGAUCAAGAUAUCAUGGUGAUGUCCGAUCACUUAGGUUUCAUUUUCACCUCGGAUUACCGUUACCAUGUUCAUGAAUAAAAAUAAAUAAAUAAAUGAAGCCUUAUAGAGAAAUUAAUGAAGUGAGCUAUACAAGCAACUGGGCCAGGAGCCUACAAGGCAGAAAUUCCCUGCCCUAGACUAGGCCGAAUAAAUUAGAUGAAUGAAUUGGGGAAACCUGGGCCAGCCACACAUCCUCCUGAAGGCUGAUGUCGAACUCGCUUACGAGGAAUGGACAUGGGAGAUUGGGCUGGGACCAAAUAACCAAUUGACAGCCCUAUCCUUGUGGCAAGACGUCAGUAAAAUGGUUCAUUCUGAUUUUACGCUGCCAUUCAAUUUAAUUUUAAUUUUUGUUUAAAGCGAUGUACAAAUUGAAUGGUGUCUAGUCACUUAAAGAGUGGUUCAUAAUACACUUAAUUUAAACAAAAAAGAAAUUAUUAGAUAGGGGAUUCUCCAAUAAAAACCACCCCAUCUUGUCAGCAAGUCCGGAAACUUCCUUCACUUAGGGCGUAUUUGUUUUUUUAACUUUAAUAUUAAAGAAAGUUGGUUAAACCUUAUGACACUUUUAUAUUAUUUUAUGAAUUUUUUUUAAUUUUUAUUUUAAUGGAAUUUUAACUUUAAUACAAGUUGGAGUAAUUCUUAUCUUAAAAACAAAUCAAAAUUACUUUAAUUUUAUAUAGAAAUAAACUUACAGUAAAUUUACCAUGAAAAUUUCUAAGUCAAAUACACCAUAAGUGCUAGUAUUUUAUAAUAUUUAGAAACAUGUUAAAUUAUUAUUAUUAUUUUUUAAAAUUAUUAGUUUUCAUAUUAGUUUUAGGGAAACUUGUGCUUUAGGUCUUUUAUUUGCAAAUAAUAUGGUUUUCAAAUCCUAAGAAUAGAAAAUAUGAGAAUCAACUGUUAAUGUGGAAAAUAAUAUCAAUUUUGUGCAAUCUCUAUUGACUCAUUUUUUUGUGCCUAGAUUGCCUUCACCCACUUCCAUGUCAACAACCACAUUAAUAGAUUGUUUUUUUUUUAUAAAACAAAUAAUUAUUAUGUUUAAAAUUUUGGGGAAACUCUCUAUCUCUCUUACUUCUUCACUACAUCCGAGACCCAUCUUCCUUAAACGUUUGCCUCUCAUUUUGCCCUAACCCCAAAUCUCAUAAAUUUCUCAUUUUCUUGCCUCAUUUGAAAUAUGAAGAUGACCGAUUCUCAAACAUCUCUGUCUCUCUCUUCACGUUUUGACCAGUCUAAUUGGAAACCCAUUUUCCAAAAACCUUCUUUCUUUCAUUUUGCCCUAACCCCACUAUCUCCCUCUUCAAGACCUAAUCACCCAAACUCGAUAUCUAUCUUCCCAAAACCUUCAAGCAAACUGAACUAGACCCAUAUCUUCUUUUUUCAUCAUCAAAGGUGAAAUUUUUUUAAGGCUUUUGGAAACCGAAUUGGAGCUUUCCCUUCUUCUGGGAUUAAUCAUUCGCAAGUGAGUUUUCCAUUUAAGGCUUUGUUUGGCUGUUGAAAUCUUGGGAUCAAAGGUCUUUUAUUUUCAGGUUUCUUGUAUUUUGCUUUAUUUUCUUGUAUAUAACAAUAAUCAUUGUAACAUAUGCUAGUAGUUACCCUUGGUGCAACUUUACAUUUCCAAAUACCCUAAAGUCCAAAGCUUUUAAUUCCCUUUUCAAAGCUUUCAACUUUGAAAGCAGACUAAACCAUAAGAACUAUGAAACUUAUAUCUCUAUCACCACUAAUUAAGCAUGUCUAUGAAUCCUUCCACUUUAAGUCACUUAUUCUCAAACCAAGAAGGGCUCCUCUCAUUCUCACCCCACCUCAUCUAAAUGAGGGAAAUGAUCAAUUGCAGCCAUGCUUUGCACCAAAUUAGAGAAGUGAUCCUCCCAAUCAUCCAUUACCAAAAAUUGAUCAUGCUGAUGAGAUCAUAAGAGUCUAUUCGGAACUCCCAGUUUACUUGCCUCUUAUCUCAGGAUCCUCCAUUACCCCCUGUCUUUCCAACAUCAAAUCAACUUGCAAACAAUUCCUUUGUAGAUAAAAUGUUUUUAAUAUUGCAAAAGGGGACUUAUCAUAAUGGUUGAAUCGAUUUAUUUGAUAUAAUCACUCAAAUUCAAGCUUAAAAUUGAUCAUAAUAAAAUGUUUUUAAUAUUGUUAAAAGGAGAUUAUAAUGGUUUUAUUUGAUAUCAUUACUAAAAUUCAAGCUUUCAAACAUGCUCUACAAAGAAGUUCUAAAAGACUACAAGAAAGAGUUUCCACUAAAGAAAAACAAUGAAACCAUUUCUACUAAAGACAAACAAUGAAACCACAGAUGCUUUGUGAAAUAUGUACCCGCACAAUCCAACAAACUUUAGAAAUUCACAAACACUACCUAGAAUUUUUGCUGACCAGCAAAAAAUUUAUGCAAUUUAAUUCUUAUUGUUAUUAUUAUUUUCAAUGUGAACAAAUAUGAUUGAAUUAUGAAGUAUUUGGCCAGAAGAGGAUCUUGCCUAAUUAUAGUCAUUAAACAACCAUUUAUACCAUAGCCUCUAGACUUUAAAAAGUUUAUAAAACUCAAGGGCUUCCACCCAAUUUCUAGAUAUCUCCAUAACAUUCUUCUGACUAUUAGAAAGCAAUUACCACUUUAAUUUUUCAUUUCAUGAGUGUUCAAUUCAGAAAAAGACCAGGAUCGAACUUGCGAUCAUGCAGUCGAAAAUCCACCUGUGCAUGAAACUAUUGCCUCACGAUUGCAAACUCAAGUUGGAGUCCAGUAACAACUCUAGGUUUGCUGAUGUGCUCCAUUUGAAAUAAAGGAACUAAAGAAUACUUUAUAAAGAUUAAUUACCUUCAUAUUUUAGGUUGGGGUUAAGGCAAAAUGUGAUAGAUUGAGAGGAAGAAAAUAUAUCUUGUUCAGGAAGCCAAUAUUUUGGAGUUCACCUUUCCAUUCGAGUCCACUCUGCUAUAGCAAAAUCAGAGUCACAACUAUGCCUCUUUAAGCUAUCCUUUAAUUGGAUGAAUUGCAGAUUUGGUUGCUGAGAAAGUGGAUAAGAAAGAAAAAUGCAUACUGUAGCUUGAGAUUAAGAGUUUGUUUUCUAAAAUGAGAGAAAGGGAAAGAGAAAAAAUGCAUAUUGUAGCUUGAGAUUAAGGGUUUGUUUUCUAAAAUGAGAGAAAGGGGAAGAGAAAUGUUCGACAACUUUGAGAUGACAAAUUUUUAGAUUUGGAAAAUUUGAGAUGAGUCUCAGGUUUUUUUUUUUUUUUUUUUGUCUUUGUCUUUGUUUUUUUUUUUUUUUUUUGUUUUUUUCCCAAAAACAACCUGUUAAUGUGGUUGUUGACAUAGAAGUGGGUGAGGGCAAAAUGGGCAUAGAAAAAAGAGUCAACACAAAGUGCACAAAACCCAUAUUAUUUUCCACAUUAAUGACUGAUUCUCAUAUUUCUUGUUCUUGGGAUUUGAAAACCAUAUUAUUUGCAAAUGGACCUCCCAAAGCACAGGUUUCCCUUAGUUUUAUGUCUCCAUCUACAUUUUACAUAUAAAUAGAUUAUUUUAUAAAAUUUGUUUUGUAGAUAUAUUAGUUAAUAAUUAUAUAAUUAAUGAUAUAGAAAACAUAUAAAAAUCAUAUUUAAAAAAGAUAAUUACAUAUUCCUCAACAAUCCAUCCCAAGAAUUCGAGGUUGAGUUGAAAACAUGUAGAGUCUUUGAUGUUAUUAUAAUCAUAUCCAACACAUAUGAUUAUUGUUUAUGAGAUAUUAUUAGAAAGUUUGUCUUAAAAUAAUUGAUUUAUUACCCACCUUUAGCAAAUGCCCAUUUUUGCGUCUUUCAAAAUUUUCAUUUUUUUUUUGUUUAAAAGAAGUAUUGUAAAGAAUGAUGAAAUAAGAAAUUUGUUGAGAAAGUGUGAGUAAAUAAUUUUACAUAAAAAGAGAUUUAAUACUUGAUAAAUAAAAUAAUAAAAUCAUGAUUUCUAGUUGUAUAGGGCCGGGUGGAUGGAGUGGCUAAGAUGUAAUUCUUGAAAUAGAGGAGACAACAUCAAUGUAUAAAAGUUUAACAGAGAAGGAAAGUGUGUUUGAAUGACUUUAUUUUCUUCAUUUAAAGUUUUGACGAUGAGUGUUUAUACAAGAUAAAUUUUCAAAUGAUAGGACUCCUAUUUACAUGGAGUUUGUGAUAUACUAUGAUUAUACAAAUUUAAAAUUCAAACAGAUUCAUGAGUUGAUAGGAGUCUGCUCAAUACGCCCCUUCAAAAUGGUGGGAGAUAGCACACCAAUCUUGACUCGAAGGGCCUAAACUCGUGCAGAAGAUGAGGGCUUUGUUAGAGCAUCGACAAGUUGAUCCGUGGUUGACAUAUGGGACACCUUGAGCUCACCUGAUUAAACCUUGUUUCAAACAAAAUGAAAAUCAAUCGCCGAUGUGUUUCAUGGAGAGUGAAACAUGGGAUUUGCACAAAGAUAUGUUGCACCCACGUUAUCACAAGAGAUAGGAGGUGGUGAUAAAUUUGAAACACUAAGUUUUGAGAGAAGAGAAUUAACCCAAAGAACCUUUGAGGCUGUAGAGGCCACGACGUGAUAUUUCGCUUCAGUGGAAGAGCGUGCUAUGAACUUUUGUUUCCUCGAUGACCAAUACACAAGAUUGUGACCAAGAAAAACAAUGGGAGCAUUGGUGGAGGAUCUGACAUAAGGAUUCCUUGCCCAUUCAACAUUCGAAUAUGCAUGUAGAUUGAUGGGCGAUUUCUUAUGCAAGAACAGACCAUGCACCAUUGUGCCGACUAAGUAUCUAAGCAAUCUUUUAACACAAGACCAAUGUGUUGAUGUUGGAUGGUGCAUAAAUUGAGAUAAUUUAUUCAUCAAGAAGGUGAUGUCAGGGCUAGUAAGAGAGAAGUAUUGAAGGCUUCCAACAAUUGACAUAUAUUUAGUGGGACCAGGAAAAGAGGUGUCAUCACACAGAUUUGGAACAUUGUUGAGGAACAUCAAUGAUUGAACUGGUUUGGUAGCCACCAUUUGUGUUUUCUUAAGAAGCUCUCGAAUGUACUUGAGAUAAAAAUAAUCCUUUGGAAGUAUGUAUCAUUUCAACACCAAGAAUAAAAGAUGAAGUCCUGAGAUCCUUAAUGGAGAAUUUGACUGCUAAUUGAGAGAUCACGCGAGCACGAAAAACAUUAUUGUUACUUGUUAAAAUAAGAUCAUCAAUAUAAAUAAGUAGGUAAACAAUGAGACCACUCUUUUUAAAAAUGAAGAGGGAUGUCUCGGUUUAGGAGUUGACGAAGGCUAUUGAGAGGAGAAAUUGGCAAAGUUCAUGAUACCAUGAUCGUGGAGCUUGUUUAAAGCCAUAAAAAGCCUUACAAAGUUGGCAAAUGUGAUGAUGUGUGUAUUCGUGAACCCAGGAGGUUGAAUCAUGUAAACAUCUUCAUGAAGUGUCCUAUGCUAGAAUGCAUUAUUAAUGUCCAAUUCAUGAGUUGAUAGGAGUCUGCUCAAUACAAUGUGGGAGUGUGAUUUCAAAAUUAGGGUAAUUUCGAAAUGGAUUUUGUAUUCACAAGUUGAAUUUCAAAAUUAUUUUGAAAUGGUCUUUUAACUUUAAGCAGUUGUGUUCAAAAGGUCAUAACUUCUUCGUUUCAAUUUUGAUUUACACAUUGUUUAAAACAUUGGACUCUUUACUUCCCGAGCUUCAAAACGAUAUAUAGUAUGCUCAAAAAUGACAUCAGGAUUGGUUCAAAUUUCAUCUUGAUAUUAGAGUACAUGUUGUGAUUAGAUUUUGAGUUCCAAAUUUCCAUGUAAACUUGAUUGCAUUUGCUUCAAACCUCCUUCAUUAUGGUUGCUUGCCCUCUAUCUCACUUUGCAACAUUUGUUACUAGUAUUUUAUGUCCAUGACUUACUCAUUUCAACCUUUCUUGGAUUCUUCAUGGUUCACAAAUUAUGGAUUCUUCAUGGUUCACAAAUUGAGUCUUUCAAUUAUGCAUGUUUAACUCCUAUUUCCUUGGUUGAUAAUGACUUUUACACUUAUCAUUUUCUUUUAUUCUUUAAACCUGAAUUUAGACUUACAAAAAAAAGUUAGAUCCAUAACUAGGGUCUUAGCAUCAAUUUGAGUUAAGUUGGAUGAUUUGAAAAUUUUAUAUUACAUAAAUCAUAUCAUACAUGUGCCAUUGGAGUGCACAUUUUGGCUCUAAUCAUGUUCCAACCCAUUGUUUUACUCUUGCAUGAAGUAUGUGGCCAUUGAUUUUAAUUUUAUUUGCGAUUAGGUUCAAAAUGGUGCUUUUGUGUUGCUCAUGUGUCAUCAGAAGAUCAACUAAUGGAUUCUCUAACAAAACUACUACAUCAUAGUCAUUUUUUUUUUUCUUAAGACCAAGAUUGAGAUCUCCAAUCGGAGCCAACUCCAUCUUGGGGGCAUGUUAGUGAAAGAUAAAAUUUAUCUUUAAUUUAAAUAUUAAUAUUUAUCAGUUAUUAGUUUUAAUUAGAGUAAAAGAUAGAGUUUAAAUUGGAGUAGGAGAUAAACUUGUGUUUGAACUAGAAUAGAAGAUAAAGUAUAAAGAUUUAUGUUUGAAUUAGAAUAAAAUAUAAAGUUUGAAUUAGAGUAGAAGAUAAACUUGUUCUUUAUUUGUAUAUAAAUAUUCAUCAAUUCUUGAGAAGAAGAUUAUUUCAUAGUUUUUCUAUCUUCUUUUUUCUUCAUACAUAUCUGCAAGAAAUUGAAGAUUUCAAGUAAAAUAUUUUCUGUUUUAAAUAGUGAAAAAAGCUAGAAAUUCACUUUGUUAUCUCUUGGGGUAAAUUGACAAGGUUUAACGUUAAGAAGGUGAAUUAUUUUUUCAGAAAAACUGAAGUAGCUAGGAUAUCUGGCCAGUUGUGAUCGAUAAAAAAGUUGUAAAAUCUCUCAUAUACUAAACAGGUUUUGGAUGUUGGUAUGGUAAAUCCAUCUGCAGUCAUUCGUCAUCUCAUCUAGUGAGAUGUUUGGGAGGUGGUGACCGCCGGAUUGGGUUUCAUUUGGUUAAAUCUGUCAGUGGGUUGGCUACUACCCGAGCCUCUUGCUUUGGGGGAGGUGGGUUCUAGAUAUAAUGUUCAAACCAUUUUAGUUAUCAUAUGCAUGACAUGUAAGCAUAAUCUCUUUAUCACUUCUUCAAUGGGAGUUCAUGGUUAGGAAUUGACUUCUUUUCUUCUGGGAUGCUUGGCAUGUAAUGGACAAAGUUACUUUUAUAUCGAUCGAAUUUCUAGUAUUAUAGUGAAGACUUACCCUUUUGACAUUUUAUAUCGAAUUAUAGAAGAUGAAAGGGACAUACAUGCAAUCGACUGACGCUUUAGUGAAUAUGCUGAAAAUAUGCUGAUGCUGUGGAGAUCGUAUGAGGACAGAGGAAAAAGAUAGAAAUGGAUAUAUAAUUAGACCUAGGUUUUUAUUAAAUGAGAUGGGGAACAUAGAGUGAGGGAAAAUCAAAAUUUUUGGCUGCAGUUCACAUUGGUGAUAUUUUGGAUUGACAAAGACUAACGACUUUUCUAUUUUUCUUUUCGGCCUGACUGGAUAGUUGGACAUGGACAAUACAGAAUCCACAGAAGGAUUGUUGGGACCGCUGAAAAUUAGCUAGAAGAAGCUGAGGAAGUAGUCUACGUAGUCAAAUACCAAACACAAAGAAAGAAAGAAAUGGAUAUCAUGGAUGCCUAGAGUUAUACUCCUAAUACCGUCACAGGUAUUUUUCUUUCCUCCUUUUUUUUUCUACGAUAAUUAGAGCAUUUCUCCUCCUCCUCCUCCUCCUCCCCCCACCCCACCACCAAAAAAUAAAAAAAUAAAUUAUUGCAAGUAACACUUCAAAUAUUAAUUUAUACAUUCUAAAGUAUAUAUUCAUGAAAUAACUUGAGUAUCAUACAUUAGUUCUCAAAAAAAAAAAAAAAAAAAAAAAAAAAUUACUGGAAGAGAAAAGUUUAAGAAAACAUAAAAAUAUUCAACUACUAUUUUAAAGAGAAAAUUUAAUUUUUACACUAUAAAUUUGAAGAGAACUUUUACAUGCAUCUUAUAUAAACUACCAUUUUUUGCUAAAAGGCUUAAAUUUGUCAAAAAUACCCCUUAGGUGCUUAACGUUCUGGUCAUAAUAUAAUUGGCAUCUUUUCUCAAACAUAAGGCCUGUGUGUGGGAACAAGAUUUAAUGUUAAUGAGCUUCGCCACCGACAUUUAGUUCCAGAAAUCAUUAUUUUAAUAGAGUGGGCUCAAUUUACAACUUUAAUUAAACUCUAACCAACUGCAUUGUGAAAUGAAUAUGUUUCUUUCGUGGUGAAUCCAAUGAGUUGGGAGUCAAACUUUGCUUCAUUGUGUAUAGAUGAAAUGUUAAGACUCCAUGUAACCUCAAACAUUUCCGCAAUNNNNNNNNNNNNNNNNNNNNNNNNNNNNNNNNNNNNNNNNNNNNNNNNNNNNNNNNNNNNNNNNNNNNNNNNNNNNNNNNNNNNNNNNNNNNNNNNNNNNUUCUUUCGUGGUGAAUCCAAUGAGUUGGAGUCAAACUUGCUUCAUUGUGUAUAGAUGAAAUGUUAAGACUCCAUGUAACUCAAACAUUUCCGCAAUGAGCGGGAGUUCUAAAUUUAAUAAUUGAAAUUGUCAGUGGAACCAGUGGACAAGAGUUGGUUUGUGGUUGACAAACUUAUCCGUUUGAUCUUUACUUGAACAGUUCCAGUGUGUGGAUGGGUACUGAUGAAGUGUGCGCAUUUAUUUUGAGAAGCCUGCUUGUUCGCAUAGAUUUUAACGACAUGAACAUUGUGGUAAGGUUAGAGAGUAAUGCGAAUGUAGGAGCUUAUAUUAGAAAUGACACAAACACGUAAAUAGAAGUAAUCUAUAUAUGAUAUUACUCAUGGACUACAAGCAAAGAAGUACAAUACAUGGAGUAAGUGAUGAAAUGAGCAUUCCUCACUACUACUGCUUGACUGAUGGAACAUGAUGCACGAGAUAGCAUAAGUAGUAGUAGGAAGCAGCUCUUAUUUGUGGCGUCGGUAUACAUCAUACUAGGUAGAUGGUUCAAUUGGCAUGGAUGGGUGGUGGAGCCUUGAAGUGCUUGUGAUGGGGAGCCCACGGCUUCUUCUCAGGAGUUGGUGGCUUCUUGUAUGGAGUUGAUGGAGGUGUUUCUACUGGAGGGUGGCCAGGGUAGUGACCCUGGGGUGGUGAAGGUUCUUUUGUCGGUGGUGGCCUCACUAUUAUUGGCGGUAGAGUUGGUGGCUUGGGCGUUGGCGGUGGUCUCACUACUCUUGGGGGUAGAGUUGGUGUCUUGUGUUUUGGUGGUGGAGGUGGCUUAACAGGAGUUGGUGGCUUGUAUUCUGGGGGUGGUUUCUCCACCGGAGGUGGCUUAUAAACUGGAGUUGGUGGCUUGUAUUCUGGGGGUGGCUUCUCCACUGGUGGUGGCCUGUAAACAGGGGUUGGUGGCUUAUAUUCUGGGGGAGGCUUCUCCACUGGAGGCGACUUAUAAACAGGGGUUGGUGGCUUGUAUUCCGGGGGUGGCUUCUCUACGGGAGGUGGCCUGUAAACAGGGGUUGGUGGCUUCUCCACCGGAGGUGGCUUAUAAACGGGGGUUGGUGGCUUGUAUUCUGGGGGUGGUUUCCCCAGUGGUGGAGACUUGUAAACAGGAAGAGGUGGUUUGUGCUCAUAUGGGGGUGGCUUGUGGUCAUUAGCAAGUGAGGGA